This 54705-nucleotide long non-coding RNA is filed under the name Malus domestica (apple). RNAcentral's name for it is "long non-coding RNA (MDOM_LNC005334)". Lineage: Eukaryota; Viridiplantae; Streptophyta; Magnoliopsida; Rosales; Rosaceae. The record is from RNAcentral.
CGAAGAGGCACCUGCUUUUUCAGCCUUGUCAGCACCUGUCACAUGCACACUCAACUUUGCGGAAAUUACAGGCAUUAUGUCGAAGAUUUCUAGUGAAGUAGAAAGCACGUGAAUGUUACUUUUCAAUCGUUCACUUUCCACACGCAACAUCAGCUCACAGGUACCACAUAUAACUUUGCCAAAAAUCUCUGACAAAGUUUAGACACGUGAAGCUUGCAGCUCCCAUUACAUCGCUAUGACCAAGAAGGGUAAAAGAAUAGCAAAGAAACAGCACUAAUAAAGUUUAGACACAUAAAUUUUGAAGGUCUAGCUACCAUAUUAUUACCCACAACGGUAAAGGAACAUGACCAUUGCUAGAUAAUUGGAAAGUCCCUGUGGGUCAACCUCUGUGCUCCGUGGCAAGGUAGACUAGCAAACAGGCCUAACCUUUACUCACAUUCAAGAAAACACUCCCAACAAGAUUGCUUACUUCAAGAUCGAAGAGGCACCGUCCUCCGAAUCUCGAGAGCCAGACUCCCAACAUGAUUACUUUCUCAAAAAGCGACGAGACACCGCUCUCCGAAUCUCGAGAGCCAGACUCCUAGCAGGAUUGCUUUCUCAAAAAUCGAAGAGGCACCGUUCUCCGAAUCUCGAGAAACAGAUCCCCGACAGGAUUGCUUGUUCGAAAACCGAAGAGGCACCGCUUUCUCAACUUCGAGAGCCAGAUCUCCUUGGAUAAAGCUUGUCUGUAAUCUUCACACGUAACAUCAGCUUUCCAGAUACCACAGACCACUUUUUCAAAGUGCUCUGACAGAGUUAAAACAUGUGAAGCUGGCAGCUCCCACUACCGUGCUAUGACCAAGCAGGGUAAAAGAAUAGUAUUACUCCUUGUUGUUAGGGAGACUUCUAUAUAUGUCGACCUCCAUUCUCAACGGACAGGCAGACCUGCAAAAAUGCUCAACCCUUCCUCAUAUCUGAGAGGGCACUCCCAACGAAGCCUCUCGAAAUACUCAGCUUUCUUUCCCCCCGAGAAUACCUCUGCAAACAAGCUACACUAGAGCAAGAAUAUCUCAUAUCAUCAGGGUUAAAAGCAAGAGUAUCUCAUAUCAUGCUUUUUCCCUGUCUUUUCCUUUGGCCUUAUUCUUACCUGCAAGACAAGGAGAAAGAGAGCAAUCAGUCAGCACUUGGAAUCAAGCUUCCAGUCCGGAACUGACUGCCUAGGAACCCCCAUUGCUCUCGAGUACUCAUCUUCAACAUCUUAUGCUUCCCGAGAAGAUACCACAUCUGCCUGAGGAACAAAUAGGGCAAGUGAGAAGGAUACAAGGAAGCAUGUGGAGACAAGCGCAACAGAACAUGUGCCGAUACAUCCACUACUUUGUCAACAGCAAAAGUAUCCCAUAUCAGCAGGGUCGAACGUACUCUAGAUUUGAUGGACUUGUUUUGACCCUAAAAUUCUUCAGGCGGCCUUAUACUCUGCGGGAAACAAGAAAACCCUCCAGCCCAGUUCAAGAAUAAGCCUGUGGAAAGUUACUUCUUCAAAAGCAAAAGUAUCUCAUAUCACAUUUUCUCCUUUUCUUUUCUCUUUAUCCUUCAUGCUACCUGCAAGAUAAGGAGAAUGAUAACAAUCCGCCGGAACUCGAAAUCAAACUUCUGAUCUGAGACUGAUUGCUUGGAGCUCUGAUUGCUUACCUUGUCUGUCACCUCUUUCAGCAGAUCCCCUAGCUCGGCGACUUGGGGACUCCUACUACAUGGUUUGUAUCGCGCUUGACCAAGCCUGAAACUACAAGUAAGCGUCAAGUGAAAUUGAUACAUUACCUUGUGCAUCUCCACCAGUUAAAGAUACCACCCCUGGAGGGAGGAAGAGUACUUCCAAAGAAGAUGCCACAUCUACCUAUGAGACAGAUAAGGCAAGUGAAGACGAUACCACACUUCGGUACUUAAAAGUUUCGUGAUUACGAGAUCAUUCUUCCACAAUAUUUCCUAAUGUCAUUUGUACUAAAUCAUUCACUUGUACUCACUAAAGGAGAGCUUGAACCUAUAUACUGUGUAAACCCUUCACAAUUAAUGAGAACUCCUUUACUCCGUGGACGUAGCCAAUCUGGGUGAACCACGUACAUCUUGUGUUUGCUUCCUAUCUCUAUCCAUUUACAUACUUAUCCACACUAAUAACCGAAGCAAUCUAGCGAAGAUCACAAACUUAAUAUUUAAGAUGAUAUUCUUUGGUGUAUGUUUUUCGCAAACGAUAUAGUGUUGAUAGAUGAAACGCAGGAAGGGGUAAGCGCGAAGCUUAACCUUUGGAGAAAAGUGUUGGAAUCUAAAGGUCCUCGCCUAAGCCGAUCAAAGACAGAAUAUAUGGAGUGCAAGUUCAGUGCAAACGGAGGCCAAAAUGAGUUAGGGGUGAGGAUCGGAGAUCAGGAAAUACCAAAGAGCGACCGUUUUCGCUACCUAUGAUCUAUCUUGCAAAAGAACGGAGAAUUUGAUGGAGAUCUCACCCAUAGAAUACAAGCUGGAUUGAUGAAGUGGAAGAGUGCAUCUGGCGUGUUGUGUGACCGUCGUAGGCCACUGAAGCCCAAAGGAAAAUUUUAUAGGACGGCAAUAAGGCCGGCAAUGUUGUAUGGCAUAAAAUGUUGGACGGUGAAGCAUCAACACGUAGGUGUAGUGGAGAUGAGGAUGCUUCGUUGGAUGUGUGGGCACACGAGAAAAGAUAAGAUUAGGAAUGAGGAUAUCCGAGGUAAAGUAGGAGUAGCCGAAAUUGAAGGAAAGAGGAGAGAAAAUCGGUUACGGUGGUUUGGACAUAUGCAAAGAAGGCCUACUGACGCUCCGGUUCGAAGAUUUGACCACGGGACAGAGGUUCAGGGCCGAAGGGGUAGAGGAAGACCUAGGAAAACUUUGGAAGAGACCCUAAGAAAAGACUUAGAGUACUUGGAUAUAACGGAGGACAUGACACAAAACCGAGCGCAAUGGCGUUCUAGGAUUCAUAUAGCCGACCCCACUUAGUGGGAAAAGGCCUUGUUGUUGUUGUUGUUGUUGUUGUUGUAAAUGGAAGACCAUGUAAGGAGAAAGCCGCCAGCACUAUUGUGUAGCUAUCCAAUAUUAAAUUCUCAAUAUCUCAUUAUGUGACUGAGCCUAAUCCCGUUAAAUUAUUGUCGUAUAAAAAGAAUUACAAGAUAUUCCCUAGUUUUGACUUUUAAAGGGUGAACUAGACAUGAAAAUUGCAAAAUUGGAUUAAAAAAGAGAGCUAUAAAUACAAAACAAAAUUACAAAAAGAAGAUAAUUGUCGUAUAAUGUCAGAAGUGGGAUUUGAACCCACGCCCUCUUUCGAAGACCAGAACUUGAGUCUGGCGCCUUAGACCACUCGGCCAUCCUGACAUAUUGUUUUGAGAUCUCUUUACUUUAUUUUAUUUCAAAUGCAUUGCAUUUAAAAUAACAAAAAAAUAAAAAAAGAAAGGACGACGACGACUCUGCUGGGGAUCGAACCCAGAAUCUCUGGUUUCGUAGACCAGCGCCUUAUCCAUUGGGCCACAGAGUCGCUUGUUGAUGUUUGUGGUUUGUCCUAGUGAUUUAUCACUUCGUAACUUGGCCAUUAUUUUAUCUUUAUCGUUAAAACUCAAAGUUUUUAAACCCUUUUCAUUAGUUUUCCUUUAAAAAUAACUUUAAAAUGAUUGUGAAUUGCGUAUUUCUUAAUACUUUUAUUGAAGAAUAACCUAAUCGUCAAAAAAUUAUUGGGAAUCACGUAUUUCUUAAUACUUUCAUUGAAAAAUAGCUUAAUCAUCCAUUCAUGUUGUAAUAUGUGAAAACAAACACAACAUGACACGACCAACACAUGUUAUAAUGUAUGAACAAAACAAACAUCGGAUGACAUUGUUCUAACAAUCUUUCCAAUUUCAUACAACCUACUAAUUAGAGUCUUAAAAAUAAUAAUGUUAUUUGAACCACAUUUAUUCAUUUUACCCUUUAUUUUGUCUUUAUCAUUAAAACUCAAAUUUUUCAAAUCAUUUUCAUUAGUUUUCCUUUAAAAAUAACUUAAAAAUUAUUGUGAAUUGCGUAUUUCUUAAAACUUUUAUUGAAGAAUAACCUAAUUGUCAAAAAUUUAUUAUGAAUCACGUAUUUCUAAAUACUUUCAUUGAAAAAUAGCUUAAUCAUCCAUUCAUAUUGUAAUACGUGAAAACAAACACAAACAUGACACGACCAACACAUGUUAUAAUGUUAUAAUGGCACCAACACAUCUUUCCAAUUUCAUGCAACCUACUAAUCAGAGUCUUAAAAAAAAUAAUGUUAUUUGAACCACAUUUAUUCCAUAAAACAAAGAAAGUAAUUAAUUGUAAAGUAAUUAAAUGUACGUAACUAAGAAAAGAUAAAACUAUUUAAACCACAUUUACUUACUAAUCACCUCCCUAAUAUGGUGAGAGUGAUCCAAACAAGUACUAGUCCAUUGCAUGCACGAAAAACAUAAACAUUUGCUCUACGUGUCACAUACACUUUUAUACAAGUGACACAUCGAAAGUUCAAAACCUAUGCCUCGUCGCCACCUUUCACCGCCACCACUGUCUCGUCCUCCUCCGCCUCCUCUCUCACACUAAACGACAAAGACUCCCUCCUUAUCAAGAACCUCCCCGUCGGCGGCACCCACAGGUUCAGCAGCCCGUGGGGCCUACCCGACGGCCUCCACACCUGCACCGUCAUGCACUGUAUCGGAUUAUCCGCCGGCUCCCGUGCGUCCCCGCCCUUCAAAACGUCGCACAGCAGCACCCGCGCGCUCCCCACCGGCUUCUCCCUCACGAGCCCGUGCGCGUAGAUAUCAACGUUCAGCGCUGCCAGCACGUCGUUCUCCAGCAAGUCUUCCCGGAACUUCACUUUGACGACCUCGUUCCACAUGGGGUUGGUCCCGCCGUGCUCGUCCACGCUCGUCCUGGCCGCGUGGUAGUCCUUCUCCACGUACACCACCGCGUACGCCCUCACUUGCGUCACGUGCUUCACGUUCUUCAGGUCCUGCGCCGAGAUUAUCAGCACUUCUAUUUCUCGGAACUUCGUCGUCGCCGCCGGCACCGCUCGCAGAUAUUUCGGCACCUUACUCAUUUCUGUUCUAAAUUUCUAAUCAAGUUGAGAGAGAUGAGAGAGGGAGUGGAGAGACUCCUCUUGCAAUUAAUUUGUAGUUACAUUGGCGUUAUUUUUAAUAAAUAUUUGACACGUUAAAACAAAAUUAUCCGUUUAAUAAACGCCAAAGGAUGUACAUUGAAAUUGAAGUGGUCCAGGAUUAUUCGAAGUUUGAAAAAUAUACAUGUGAAGGUUAAAGAUAUUUUUAAUGUUUAGUACGAGUUCUUUUUAUGCCUACCAAGUAUUUGAUAGGCAUAACGUAUUGGGUUGACAAUGCUCGAUAUAAAUUCUCUCGAUAUUACUCAUCAGAUUGCUCAACAUUUUGUUGAAAUUUGUUGAUAUGUGCGCAACAUCGUUUGGCUGACGACAACAAGCUAACUAAAUAUUCAAAGAAUACCUGAGUGAAUAAACUAAAAUUUUUUUGCAUGCUUCCCGCUCUAAAUCCGCCACUGCUUGACGCAUGAUGAGAGCAUUUGUGUUUGUGCUAAAAAAGAAUUUAAUAUCUUUAAUAAUAUUCUAAACCAAUCACGCACUAUUACAAAAAUGCGUAACUUGUUUCUCUGGAUGAGUUAUGUUUCUCUCCUCUCCAUUAUGUGGGUCUCAAAUUUGAAGGGUCCAACUUCUAUCUUCCAUUGUGAGCUUCAAUUUUGAAAGGCCCAAUGUGUAGAGCAAUCCAAUGACCUCAAUAUUCAAUAAUUCGUGGACAGCACAUUGCCCACAAACCUCGAAAGCUCACAUGCAUGCCACUAAAAAUGAUUCAAAUAUUCCAAGUAAUUGCCUGUAAAGAGAUUAUAUUCUCCUAACCUUGCAAUUUUAAACACAGGCCACACCACUCCCAAAUCAUUUUGUUUGCGGUUAAAGUAACAUAAUUUGACAGGUGUGAAGCUCCCAUUUGCUCAGCUCCUUAAUCCCCUACCUAUAAAACCCACUUAAGCUUCCUCAUUUUCCUCAAACCAAAAGCAUUAGCACACUUCUUCCACUUGUGACUUGAGAAUUAGUAUCAGAAGAAGAAGAAAAUAUGGAGGGGUGCAAAAUGGCCAUGGUUUUCACCAUCUGCAUGAUUGUUCUUGUGAGCUUCGCGUCGCUCGGAGCUGCUGAAGAUGUUGGUGUUCCUGCACCUGCACCGAUGGAGAGCGCCGCAGCUGCUCUAGGUGUUCCUGCUGCUGCACUAGGAGCCAUGGCUUCUUUGCUGGCCUUCUUGUUUUAAACUUGUUCAUUUAAGUUCCCCAUCAUGUUUUUUUCCUUGCUUAUUUUCUUUUGGAAGUGAUGUUCAAUUUCUUAUGAUUAAUUAAAUUUGGUUUCAAGAAAUCAAGAGAAUUCUUCAUAAUUUAGUUUCAAUUCUUUCAUAUAACCAAAUAUAGGCAAAGCAACAUAGUAAUCUGGUUCCGGAAUGAAACUGAGUGAGUGAAAGAUCACCGUUGCUUGAUGGAACCGAAAAGAUCCUCAUAAGAACGCUUAGGGGCAUCAGGCCGCGAAACUAUCUCCACAACCUUGUAAGACGCUUCAGGAUUCCGUAAUGCCUCUACAGCCACUUCUGCAACCAGGUCUCUAGAGAUGCUGCCUUCCGAAAGAGUGUCCUAUCAAGAGGGAUCAUAGGCAACAUCACGUUAAGGCAGCUCGGGUUUUCGUACUUAACAAGAUUAAAUGGGGAGAGUUCUCAAAGUGUGACAAAAAUUGUGUUACCUCUGGCUCCAUUACAAGAUUUCCGGUUGGAGGGUCGUUUCUCAACCCACCGGGCCUUAUAAUCGUGUAGUUUAUGCCAGACUUCCUGAUAUAAUUCUCUGCCUGAAGCUUUGCUAUUAAGGUGAGCCCAAAAACAUUGAGGAAGAUGUAAGCUGGGUUGAGAAUCUGCCCCAUUGCUGCUCCAUUGACCAAGAUGGAACUCACAAGAAUAAACCGGUUCACACCAAGUUUACGGCAUGCUUCAACAAGGUUUACUGUGCCAAAAUUAUCAACCUGCACUAAAAUAAACCAUUUUCAGACAUCAAAACAUGUUCGAAUAACGAAUGUUCUUUCCAUUACAACCUGGACUAAAAUUAUCUUAUUUCAGAUAGCAGAACACGGGGCUAGCCGCUUUCUAGUGUGCAUAUACAGAACCAUCAAAUAUUUCGUGCCAUUCGAGUUGCAUUAUGUACUGAAGCCAAGAAAAAGUAUGAAUUCAUUUCCCACUCGAUGUUCGAAUAAUGAUAGUUCUUUACAUUACUAGCCAAAGGCUAAAACUCAGGAUUUUAAAGGCAUGAAUUUGAAGCAUCACUCAUUUGCUAAAGUAAAACUCAAACAAGAAACUACUUAAAGAUUUAACUUAAUCAAACACCAAUCGAAAAUCAACGGUGGACUACACAAAGAUAGAAGUAGUAUUAAGAUUACAGAAAGAUGGACUACUGAUCAACGCCGAUACCAUCCCCAACUCAAUCACUUGCACAGUCUAGCAGGCAUAGGGUUUUAUACAAAAGGCCUCGAUGCAAUUAGCUGAACCACUCGUUAAUAUAUAGUCUAUUUUUCGUUUGCCAGGUUUCUGAUGUGGGAAGUUUACAUUUUUUCAACAAGUUGCUUCACAAAGUAAUAGAAAUAGAUGUUAAUUGCACAGAUAAAAGAAUCAAGGUGACCUUCCAUGGAGCAAACACAUCCCAUCCGUAGCUAAAUCCAGUGGCACAAAUCACAGCUUCUGAAUCAUCACUUAUCACUUCUGCUAACUUAGCAGAACCAUCUGUCACAUCUGCCUUCACCUGAACAUUCGCAAGAAAUCGUUUCAUCGAGGACCCGAAAAAAUUAAACAUUCUCCAAAAAAAAAAACACAAAACGAAAAACCCAAUUGAGUUCCCAGCAUGAAUCAAUACCAGCACUUGAAAUUCUGAAGAAACUCACAAUUUGAAGAGCUGGGUUGUCUGAGGGAAGGCUAGCUUUCGCUUUCUCCAAGUUCCGAACUCCGGCUUUAACUGAGAAACCCUUGGCCAGCAGCUGCUCAACAAUUCUUUUACCAGUAUUUCCAGUGGCACCAGCCACAAAUAUUUUCUUCUUCCCAAUCACAUUGGUCUCAGUUGAACUUAUCUCUGUAACUUCCUCUGUAAUUUCACCCCCUUCCAUCUAAACCAGAGAUUGACAUGUUAAUAGUUAAAAACUAACAUUAAUGGCAUUGGGGAGAGAGAGAGAGAGAGAGGGAGACCUGAGCGGACUUUAGGAUGGGAAAGGACCUGGUGUUGGAGGAGGAGAAGGAAACCAGAGAGAAGGGUUUGAUGGUGGUGGUGGAAAGAGGAGGGAGGAGGCGGUGAGUGCAGAGACGGUGAGGAGGGUUUCUGAGAAGGAGAGGCAGAGGAGUUGCCAUUUGCUUUAUCUUGCUCCCUUGAAACUUCUACUUAUUUCUUGUCCUCCAAGUCCAACCAACAGCGAGACCCUGUCCUGUCUUGGCUUCCCAUUUGCUGUGUGCGACUCUGGGUGGGCAGCUUCCACAUCAGUGUUUCUAGGGCCCCUUUCCUCCCUUUAUUGGGGUUUUUCUUUUGCCUUCUUACUGGAGAUAUUUUUCACUGCUGCGACGGAAACACAGGAUGAUACACUAUAUGUCAUUAUACAAAUGGUAAGAUAUGUGUGUUAAAAAAUUAAUAACUUAAAAUAUAAAAUUUUGCAUCACUUGUAUAAAAACACAUAGUGUACCAAUCGUGUUACAAUCAUAAUAAAAAAUUUCGCUUCUUAUUGAGUUGGCUAUGGACGUCUGUUCUUUUUUUAGGUAUGUUUAUAAAGACGAUUUGAAUUUUAGUUGUGCAAGUUAAGGAUUUAAGUUGAGGAUGUCCUUAACUUCAUCCUAUUUCUAUUUCUAGGGUGUUGUUUGACGAUCGAAAUCGUUUAGUUGAAAGAUUUUCAUUCAAGCAUUACCGAUGCAAAGAAUCGAAUAAAUCAACAUUUUUUUAGCCAUUCAAUUGUUCGUAAUUUCAUUUCAAUUUUAUCUAACGAACCAUGGUUUUUAUGCUCGUUUAAGAGGACCGAACAUGUUCAGAUUUGGAUGAUUUUUUUUGCAAGGAUGAUCUUUGAAUGAGGUGCUAAAAUGUAGACCGUUCUGAUCAUUGAAGAUAUUACGGAGAGCCUUAAGAAAUAUAAGGACAUGAGUAAUAGGGUCAUCAUAACAUAUCUGCAUUAAUUUUGAUCAAGCAUGCUAUCUGCAAUCUCAGAAUCAGAAGGCUUCUAAACUAAAACUUCUGUGGAACCAAACUGAUCAGAGGUCACCGGCGAGCGAUUGAACUAAAAAGUUCGCCACAUGAACGCUGGGGGCGUCAGGCGGCGAAACUAUUUCUACAACCUUGUAAGAUGCUUCAGGGCGGAUUAGUGCCGCAACUGCUACUUCUGCAACCUGAUCUCUUGAGAUUGUGCCUUGAUAAAGAGUGUCCUAUACCAAGAGAGAGCAGAGAUAGAACAUAGAAUUUGAAGCAACGACUAAGGUUUUAGUACGGAAACAAGACUAAAUGAGAAAGAACAUAAAGGCUGAUGAAAAUUAUGUUAACAUACCGCUGACUCCAUCACAAGAUUUCCAGUUGGAGGCUCGUCUCUCAACCCGCCAGGCCUGAUUAUCGUAUAGUUUAUGCCCGACUCCCUAACAUAUUGUUCUGCGCGAAGCUUUGCUAUCAAGGCGAGUCCAAAAACAUUAAGAUAGAUGUAAGCCGGAUUGAGAAUCUGGCCCAUUGCUGCUCCAUUGACUAAAAUGGAACUCACAAGGAUAAACCUAGUCACACCAAGUUUCCGGCAUGCCUCUACAAGGUUGAUUGUGCCCAAAUUAUCAACCUGCAGUGAAUUUACCUCUUUCAGAACGCCGGCUAAUGUUAUGCGUUCAUAAAUCAGUGGAAAACCAAGUAUGCGCAACGUAAAGAUUUUGCUUCAUAAGCAGAAUGGAGAUAAAGGUCGACUGCAUAAAUAGAGAAUCCAAGUGACCUUCCAAGGAGCAUACAAAUUCCAUCCAGGGCGACAUCCCGUGGCACAUAUCACAGCUUCUGAAUCAUUGCUUAUCGCAUCUGCUAGCUUCGCAGAACCCUCUGUCACGUCUGCUUUCACCUACAAAAAAAAAUGCAAGUCAUUCUUUCAUCCAAAACCCCAUACAUUAAGCAUUCCCAAAAACAGCAGAGACCCGAUUGAGUUUCUAGCAUGAGGCCUGCACUUGAAAUAUUUGAAGAAACUCACGAUUUCAAGAGCUGGGUUGUCUUGGGGAAGGCUAGUUUUCGCUUUGUCCAGGUCUCGAACUCCAGCUUUAACCCGAAAACCUUUAGCCAGUAGGUGCUCAACGAUUCUUCUGCCGGUACUUCCAGUAGCACCUGCCACAAAAAUCUUCUUUUUCCCGAUGGCACUCCACUUGAUUUCGUUGCGCUAAUGUAAGGUGUUUGAUUUGUAGUGUUAUUCAAUGCUCGUUGCGCUAAUGUGGCCAUCGCCCUCACUUGUUUAGUAUCCCAUCAGCUCAUGAAUAUUAUGCAAUAGAUUAUCCAACAUCCAUAAAAAAAUUAAAAAAAUAAAAAUUAUGCAAAUAAAAACAGAUUACAUUAAUAAAAACCAGAUUCUUAAUUCAAGGUCUAAGAACUACAGACAACAAGAUACACGAGGCCAACACAGAAGGUUAAAUCAGUAUUCCCCUCCAGAGAUGCGCAACGGGUCAAAUCUGUUGCCAAAUUUUGCUCUCCCUGGAAUUCAAGACUUGGAAGUGAUGCAAAUCCAUCUCAGCAACAUACAUUCCUAGCAUUACAUAUUGCAGGUGAUCCUUUACCAACUCAUGAUAUUAUGAACACUGUUCCACCAUCUACCAUCACUAUGUUUCUCUUUCGGAGUUCCUGAACAUAAUCAAGUUCGUGAGUUAAUGCUUAUCCUUCCGCAAAAAUACUAGCUCGAAAAAUAAUAAUAGGAAGAACUAAAAAGUCAAUGAUUUUGGUACAGAGAUUGCAAGAUGCUCGUCCAGUAUGUCUUCCGUGAAUUUAAUGAAAAUUUACCUCUAAUAGGAAGGUUAUCUCUGUACUUGAGUAAGGAACACUUGCUCCGUCAUUGACAGCAUUCUCUAAGGCCUCAACAGAUAUGCUGUCGGAGCGCUGUACUGUACGUACUUGAUUUAAAACAUCAGUAAGUGCUUUUAACCUGCUGGUGCAGAAGGAAUAAAGAAAUUGAAUUGGCAUUAGACACAAUUGAACCAGAUGUGAAUUAAACAAACUAGAAAAAAGAAGAGCAACUUGGGUUGGUGCUACUAGGCAGAACCUUUCGGAAGAGUUAUCAGCAGCAGCAGAUUCAGUGUGAGGGUCGACAUCCAUGGGUUCAGUUGUUGAACUAACACAGGCAAAACAAGAGAAAACAAGUUAAAUGACUGUCGUGAAUUUGAGAGCACAGAUAACAUCAAUUUAUGGAUACAGGCAGUUUCUGCAAAGUACACUUACCCUUCAUUCCCAGUACCAUUGCCAGACCCAUUAUCUUGACCUGCGGGAUGGUUAGCUCUGCCGUUCCUCUCCAAUUCUCGCUCUCUUUCUUGCUCGCGCUCCUCCAUGUCAGUCAAUUCUUUGUGAUAAAUUGCAAAAUUUAAAACUUUGAGAGCAGCGUCAACAUCUGACUUUGAAACCUGUUAAGGUAGAUUUAUCAUUACUUUUGAGUUUGAUGAAUGUUACAAUUGACAGUCACAGAACACAUAAACUGAUGAAGAAACCAUAGUUUUGAUUCCACAAAUAAAUGAAAGAGCAGAAUGAACGUGUCCCGUUUGGACUUUAUUAAUCAUUAAAGUUGACAAGGUACCUUUCUGCUCAACUUUAAUUUUGCAUGAGCAGUUGAGAGACGAAUGAUGGUUUCUAAUGUUCUGGCGGUGAUUGGAAGUGUUCCUCCAGUCUGAAUAACAAAAAUGAUAUCAGAUUAUAGUCAGAAAGUCAUUGCAUUGACCAUGCCUAAAUAUACAAUGAUGACAAAUGCUGACCUUUGCAUUUGAACUGGCAUUUCUGAGUUCUGCAUACGCUGUUGCAAUUUGUUCAGAGGCCUGUGGAAAAAAAAAUUGUUAUUAGCCAUCAGACAGAUUCAUAAUGCACUGACCAGGUCAGGAAGACAAGUUCAUAAACUAACUGAAAAGGCUCUCCACAAGAAAGAUAUUAUAUGGCAGAUUGCACAAGUAAGAUUCUAAGAUAAGCAACAAAUGACGUGACCGAGGGAAAACAUACGUAUAUUAUUGAGUAUAUAAAUCAUCAAAUAAAGAACCAGUACCUCAUCAGUCAGAUCAGGCUCAAUCCUAUUCUUUGCAUAAUGAAUAUACUUUUUAAGAAACUUGAUUGUGAGCGUAUCACGCUUUCGACCCCUAUCAGUUUUUUUCCCAUGUAGCAUUCGGUUAUACUUAACAAACACAGAUGAGUCAUUAUCAGUUUCAUCUUCUCUUCCAAAAGCCGAGCUCCCAUCAAGCAUUGCCUCACCUACACUUAUAAAUUAGUGAAACUUAUUUUGUACUUCUCAAAGAUCAUAAAACAUAAACAGGAGAUUUCUGCUUUAGUACCUCCAGUUGCAGAACGAUACCGAUGCAUGCGCAACACAUGCUCUGAGACUUGACGGUCAAUGUCAGGGUCCAUUUGAUCCAAUACGAUAAACAGUAAAUCAAAACGAGAGAGCAAAGAGUCUGGAAGUCCAAUAUUCUUUGUUGGUGUCAAUGAGCGAUCAUACUGCAUGAUUAUUAAAAAAACCAGCGUUAAAAAAAUUUGACUAAAUUACUUAAAUAAAAAAAACGCGACAGUCAGAACAACAAAUUGCAAAUAUGUUAUCAAAUGGUUGAUGACCAUUAGCUGUGUCACUUACAGAACCAUAUAUGGGAUUUGCAGCAGCCACCACACUGCACCGUGCAUUGAGGGAUGCAUGGAUACCAGCUUUGGCAAUUGUUACAGUCUGCUGCUCCAUAACUUCAUGUAUGGCAACACGAUCUUGAUCAUUCAUUUUGUCAAAUUCAUCAAUACAGACAACACCACGAUCAGCAAGAACCAUCGCACCAGCUUCUAGCCUUCUCUCCCCUGAUAACAGACAGAUUUGUAUCUUCCUCGUAAUAACAUCAUAUAAUGCAAAAGUUGAACUGCAAGAGAUGGAAUAUGUUAUUACCCGUCUCUUGAUCCGAAGUAACAGCAGCUGUCAAACCAACACCAGAAGAACCCCGGCCUGUAGUUGAUAUUGCCAAUGGAGCGAUGUUCAUAAUUGCUCUUAGAAGUUGAGAUUUGGCAACAGAAGGAUCACCAACCAUCAUCAUGUUAAUGUCACUAAAAGAAAAGAAAAGACAUUUGUGAUCAAGAUUCAAUUUUGUCUAGAGGAACACUUAGGCAGGGCCUUAGAAAAGAAGGGACUAGAUAGAUAAGCAUUAUUAGGAUGGUAAAAUCCCCGGAAAAUUUUGAAUCAUAACUUACCCUCGUAAGUGAGUACCAUUCCUUAAGUUCUUUUCCAUUCCACCAAGCAUUAGCAAUAUUACUGCUUUCUUUAUCCAUGAAUGUCCAUAAAUAGAGGGUGCAAUUGAAUUCCCAAGCAGGUCAAAUGUAUCACUUCUUUCUGCUAUCUUUUUUAUGUUCUUUAUGUCAUCAGGACUGUAAAUUGGUGCAUUUGCUUCUUUGUUGAGCAGCGAAACGCUGUUCGCUAUGAGAACAGUCCUACACAAACAAGGCCAUUAAGUCUAAGUAUUAAACUAGAAUACAUUAUUGUUUAAACAAGAUAAGAACUUUUGCACUCCUCGUGGUUGAAGCUACCUGAAUACUCCAUUCACGCUUCCCUUGCUUUUACCAGGAAGAGCUUUGUAAAUCCCUACAAUCGCCACACGGUCUCCUGGUUUGCAUGAAUCAACGAGGUCAUCCUCAACUAUGACAUCCACUGUCCGCGGAAGCUGACCAGGAGCAGAGUUCUCAGGAACUUCUUGCAUAGAUAAAGUUUGAUGAUCUUUGUAUUUGCAUAGUCCAUACUCAGUCACCAAUAAGUUACCAUUUUCGUCCUGUGGCAAUAUAUUUUCAUAAAAAGUCCCUUCUCCAACGAUAAAAUAAGAUACAAUUAAAGCGAAAACUUGAGAUUACCCUAGUAGGAUAAACUGCUCCCGUAGGCAAACCCAUAUUGGAUGUAAUGUCUCGGUAUUCUCGAGAGGUGAAGUUUCCGGUACUAGGGCAGAAGUGAACACUCUUAACAACUUUUGGCCUCACAAGAGAACCUACAAAUGAGUUAGUUACCAGGUUAGACUCACCCAUAGCCAACAUUCCCAACAAAAACAUAUUGAUAUGUUUCACUAGCUGAACUGAAAGCUAAGCAAACGAAGAAUCUUAGGGUUUAUGAUUUUCUAGUCUAAAUCAACACCACUAACCUUGAAUUCCCCAUAAAAUUGUUUCUUUUAUUUACGUUUUUCCUCAAAUUUUAAUCAAGAAUGGCCAUUUCCGAGACGUAAAUCGAGCAUGAAAUGAAAGCAAAAGUAGAGGGCAGGGGAGGAAGAAGGUACAUUUGGUGACAAUGCCCUGGACGCAAACCAUGGAACCAAUGUACUCGGAGAGCAGAUCUCUCGGCGUGACACGGCGCGAGACGAAAGCACCUUCAAACCCCACCAGAAGUUGUUCUCCUUGCUUCAGGUACCUCGGGUCGAUCCUGUUGGCGAUUUCAGUGGCCGCGUCGUUGAAGGAUUGCAUAUAAUCACUUGGAUUUCUCAGAAUCCUGAAAAUUGAAAACCGAAGGCAAAAUUACACUAGGAUUCUUCUGAAAUCAAUUUGGCGAUAGUAGAAGUUGAGCAAAGCUAGCUGUGAGGAGUUUGGUUGGUGAGAAAAUUGAAUGAACCUGGAGCCAAUUUCGCCGUAGGAGUGGAGAUCGGAGAUGUCGACGAUGAGGCGACGGCGGUUGUGGUUGAGGACGGCCUUGAUUUCGUCCAUGUAUAUCUGUGCAAUACUUUAACUAGUUAGAGAGAGAAAGCAAGAGAGUUGGAGAAAGAGAGAGAGAGGAUGAGGAUGAGGAGGAGGAGGAGGAGGAGGACAUACGCCAUCUUCCAAGAAAGCAAGGAGCUCUCGGCGGUGAUUUGCCCUAACUUCUUCGCUGAUGUCCAUUUCGCUUCGCGCUCGAGUUCUGCAGAGAAGAGAAGAGAAGAUCGGCGACGACGGCGAUUGAGAGUUUGAGAUGGCGAGCGACUGCUCAGUGCUAUCGAAUCCCCUUUUCUCAGUCUAGGGCUAUUUAUUUUGGCGGGAAAAUGAUGGAGCUUUACCCUUCCUUUGGCGCCAAUAUCAUCAUCCCAUGCCACGCUGUCGCUUCCCCUUUUUUUUUCUUCUGAAAUAUUUUUUCAAUUUUACCUGACUAUUAAUUAUAUGGUCAUUAUAUUUCUCUUUCCAUACGUAAUGGAAUAAGAGUUUCCUCAUUCUUUGUGCACGGGAAAUUUUUUCUUAUACCCGUAAUAUAAGUGGUAUAUUAUGUGUUAUUAUAUAAUUGAUGAAAAUUUUUAUUUUGUAUGCUGUUAACUUUUCAACAAAUGAAUCUCACUACUUGUAUAGAAACACAUGAUGUAUCAUCCUAUGUUUCAGACGCAUUAAAAAAUUUCUCAUCGUGCGCAUGAUUCGGAUGGAUAGUGUAAUGAUCAUAUAUUAAUAUAAAAAAUGUAUCAACAUUUCACUAUUAAUAUGACAGGAAUACGUCGUCAAUACAGGUGAUGCACAAAUCAUUCACACAACCCAACUUCGAGGAAUGAAAAAGAUUAUUCAAAAGCUUCUGAGUUCUAGAAGUUUUAUUUUUUGGUCAAAUGAUAAUUUUGAUUAAAUUAUAAUAUAAACGUCUACAUCUUCAACAAGAAUAUUAAAUAAAAACUUCAGACCAAGAGCAUCUUAACAGAAAGCACCUUCGCAAGGUAACAUAUGAGGCUACAGCAUAAGCAGCGGCAUUUUCAUUCCUCUUGACAAACACAAACCUCACCCCUCCUAAUUGUCGUCAUCCAACUUGAAGGUUACACAAGCUGCUAAUACAAAAUAUGCAGAGAGGCAAAUCCACGCAUAAGUCUUCAUGAUAUGGUAACGGGAGGACAAUUCGAAUUUCAAAUUUAGAUGCGUAGGGGAGAGCACACUGCUCUAGCAAAUUGGGCGAAACUUGGCUACACCCACGUCUGCGUUGCCUCUAUCUAUAUUAGUCACACUUCUUACUAACCAUCAGAUAAUUUGAAGAAAGAUAAAAAAAUAUAACAUUCUAGUUUUCCUCACAGAACCAGGUAUCUAAAAACGACUUGCGUCCAUAAAAAAAGAACAUUUCUGAAUCAUUACAAAACUACAGAUGGACUCAAAUGUAAACUGAUGAAGCUUGCCUCCGAAAUAAAUUAUGAUCUCCUCUAAGCAUCGUUGAUGUACUACAAAACUUGAACGCAAGUCGGAUGAUCAGGGCUUGAACGCAGAGAAGGCGACGACAGAGUUAUGUCCACCAAAUCCAAAUGAAUUCGAUAUGGCUGAAAAAACACACGAAAGUUUAUUUGAACGGUAUUUGAGCAAUUGGAAAUGUAAAGGCACUGGGAGUUUCAAGGUUUGGCCUUCUUACCAACAUUCACUUCAUGCUGCUGCUUUACAUUGGGAACAGUGUCAAACUCCACUGAAGGCUCUGGGUUCUGUUUCAUAAAGGACAUGCCACACAUCGGAAACCAUUACUAUAAUGUUUCAAAUACGAGAGAUCAAACUACCGCUAUGCUGUAGAAACCAAGUCCAAAAUCAUAGCAACAAUAACAUACAAAUUGGUUUAUGGAAGGAUGCAGCCAUCCAGUUGUUAUGGCUUUAAUGACAGCAAUAGCUUCCAAACCCCCAGAAGCACCAAGACAGUGGCCUAUCAUAGACUGAAACAAAGUAAAGGCAAGAAAAACGUAGUCAGGAAAGAAACAUCAUAUGAAUUAUAGAGACAGAGGAUCAGAGAAGAGAGAUUGCCUUAGUUGCAUUGAUCUUGAUAUCUUUAGUGUUCGUGAACACCUUCUUUAUAGCAUUUAUCUCGGCAAGGUCACCAGCAAGGGUAGAAGUUGCAUGCGCAUUGAUGUAGUUAACCUGAUAAAGUGAGGGAGUUCACUAAAUGAUGAUGAGGAACAAUCACUAUAUAACACAAGAAAGGUUUACGGAAAAGAGAGAAUACCUCCUCAGGUGACACACCAGCAUCUUCAAGGCAUCUCUGUAUGCAUGUAGAUACACCAAGCCCAUCAGCUCUUGGAUCAGUCAUAUGAUACGCAUCACAGUUAAUACCACCUCCCAAGUACUCGGCAAUAAUUGUAGCACCUCGUUUUGUUGCAUGUUCCAAGCUCUCCAUUACCUGUCAAAACAAAUACCCUUCUUAUGUUAUGAUUAAAAUCAUAAGACCAAAACUGGGUCAACUGCAGUGUAUACAUUCAACACUUCAGUCAUCGUGAAUUCAUGAUUAGCUGAGAUAGAAUUUUGUAGCAUUCUGUCUACUAAAAAUUAGAUUACAUGACCAUUUUGUUUCAAAAUUAAAAUCAACGCAGGCUUACCAAUACACCAGCACCUUCGCCCAUAACAAAGCCAUCUCUAUCUCUGUCCCAUGGCCUGGAAGCCGUUUUUGGAUCAUCAUUUCUCUGAGACAAGGCCCUGCAUGCAACAAACCCUCCCACCCCAACAGGAAUUAUGGCAGCUUCGGUUCCGCCAGCAAUCAUCAAAUCAGCUUCACCCCGACGAAUGUGAUUUGCAGCAGCAUAGAAGCAAUAAUUUGAAGUAGCACAAGCAGUUGAAAUGGAAUAAUUGGGUCCCAUAAAACCCAGAUCAAUAGCGAGCAACGCAGACCCCAUGUUUGUAAUAGCAUAAGGAAUGAAAAAGGGGGUAAUUUUCCUGUGACCUUUCUCUAUCAGUGCAUGAACACCAUCAGAAAAGACGGUAAGACCACCCAUUCCAGAUCCAACAAGCACCCCAGUCCGCGAUUUAUCAAGCUGUAAGUGAAGCAAAACCAACUAUUUUAGAUACUCAUUUACACUACUCAGAACACAGAAAAACAAAUCCAACAAACAUUUCUGCACUGCAUGUGUUUAAACACAACCAAAUCAAAUUAUAUACUCCGCACAUGUUAACGAUUCUUCCAUGCAUGUCCCGAAAUAAGCAAACCAUGAAAUCCCAGAUCCAUAGUUUCUAACAGAACCCAUUACUCUUACGCACAAAACUACAUCAAAUCAAUCCCAGAAAUAACCAAAUUGUUCAAAUCGGCAAAUUAGCACAUUCUGUUAAAAACCCAUCAAGCUAACGAGCAUAAUUAAACAAAUGCUUUCAAAUCAAAGAAAGCAAUGACCUAGGAGCACUUAUCGUUACACAUUCUACCGAAAGCCCCUCAAGCUAAUGAGCAUAAUUGAACAAUUAAACACAUGCAAAUAAUAAAAAAAAGCAAUGACCUUGGAGCGCUUACCUAUCUCAGAAAGAACCAAAUCAGCAGAUUAACACAUUUUGCAAAACCCCAUUAAGCUAAUUAAUAUACAGAAACCAUUAAACACGUGCAAAUGAAAGAAAGCAAUGACCUUUGAGCGCUGAUCGGCGCCAAGAUCAGCAUCCUCGAGAGCCUUCUUCCCAGCAACAAUCGAGUACCGAAGGCAAUCGUCCAGCCGUCGAUCGUUCUUCCCAUCAAUGUAUCCCUCCGAUGAGAACCCGCGGAUCUGGCCCCCGAACCGGGUCGGAAACUUGGACGCAUCAAACCGGUCAAUUGGACCCACACCGCUCUCUCCGGCGAGGAGCUUGUCGUAGUAAGUAUUGACGUCGUUGCCGAAGACGGAGACGAGGCCCAUUCCGGUGAUGACAACCCGCUUCUUCGGGUCCAUCUCGCGCUUAGGGGCGGACACGGCGGGGACGGAGGAGGCGGAUAUGAAUGAGAUUCGCCUGGAGGAGUUGGCUGUUCUGGUAGUGACAUUAGGGAAAUGGGGGGUCCGUUUCCGAAUCGGGUCGAGCGGAGCGGGCCGGAGAGUGGAGGAUUGGAGGGACUGCAUGGCGAUGAGAGAGAGAAAGUGAGUGCUUAGAGAGAAAGAGAGAGAGUGGGUGGCGACGCCAACGAUGUGAGUUACUUGGAGGAGAAUUUUGGUUUGGAUUCAACUUUUGAGCUGCCUCUAUUAUCUAUGUGAUGCCACGUCACUGUGCGUAGGAGAUGAAUAGCUGCAGCUUCAAGCCUUCAACAACUGAGAUUUUCUUUCUAUUUUAUUUUUUUCAUUUAUUUUGUUGUCAAACUUCAACAGAGAUCUUGACUCUUUGCCACUUUGGUAACUGUACCUCUCCGAUUUAUUUUCUCCUAAUCCAUCAAAUCAUUAUAUCCGUACGGUUAAAAUUUGAUCCAACGGCUGAAAUUAUUAUAAUUUUUAAAAUGGACCUCUCUGUAGUUGUUGAAUAAAAUUUCAAUGGUACAUAUCCCCUUAUUUGGUGGAUUAGAAGGAAGGGAUAUGGAGAUGAUCCAUUUCCCUGUACAUGGAUAAUGCUAGCAUCCUCACAUUGUCACGUAUUUUUUCAUCAAUAAUGUUAUUCUUACCAUAUUUUGUUCCACAAUUGUAUAUCAUUUUAGGUGGUAUCUGAUAUAGAUAACCACAUCAUCUAAAUGAAUUAGCAUUUAAUUUCAAACUGUUAAUCAAUAAUUAAUAAAAAAAUUGCUAAUUAAAUGAUGAUUGUCGUGUACGAGAGUCUUGUUCUUCCUUUCCCUAUCCCUUAUGCUUCUUCUUCCUUUCCUUUUCUUUUUCACGCCAGUUUUUUUAUUGAUUUAUGUUGAUUUCCAUGAUUAUGGUCAAGCUUUAUAGAAUUUACUUGUAUAUCACAAUCACCAUUGAUUUCUAUCUCCAACCUCAUGCCCCGUAGCCCCAAUCCUCAUUCCCCUACAAGUAUUUCUAUCUCCAAUCUUCAUUGGUACUCCGUAGUUGUUCAUCUCGUGAUUUUUUUUGUUUUCUUUUCAUACAUUUUUUUUUGUGGUUUAAAAGAAUGAUUUCACCUAAUUAUUUCAUUUAGUAAUGCCUAGUAGCUUUCAUGUGAAUUAUGAGUCAUAAUCAAAUUUGUCUAUCGGAUUAAGGUUCAUACCCAAUUAAGUUACUAACAUCAGAGGGAGAUUUUGAAGUGUGCAAUUUUCCUUAUUUAAGUGUUUUAAUUAAUAAGAAAAUUGAAAUUAAAUGAUAUAGCUUAUCCAACUCAUUUGCCACCUAAGAUGGUAAAAAAAUGUGAUAUAAAAUUAUGGUAAGAAUAAUAUUACUUUUUUUCAUUUGUGAAUAAAAUAUCUUAAUUAAAUAAAGUCGAACAUCAUGAAUUUGAAGAUUAUUCUGAUAAAAAUAAAAUCAUUCAAUUGAAGAUCGUUUAAUCAAUCAAAUGUAUCCAACAAAUUGAUCGUUGAUCAUAAAUAUGUAAAAAAGAAGGCAUACAUACAAAGUUCUUCAAGAUAAUUGGUAUUUUAUGAGAUUAUAUUAGAAGACUGUUUUUAUUUCAUGGAUAUUAUUUUUAGUUUUUCAUAACAGGGAUAUUGUGUUAAAAUUAAGUCAAUCCGAUUCCUAAACCUAAGUAUUUAUUUUAGUAUUAUUUGUGUUCACAUAUGAUUAAGAAGAAAUUGGCUUGUAUUGUUUGUUGCCGUCAACCAAAUAAUUUACAAAACAAGUUAAGUUUUGAUUUUACCUACAAAAUCAAAGACAGAAAAACAAAAUCCUUUUCCAGUUUAUAUAUAAUUAUCGUCCAAUGAGUUUUGAAUUUUAAGCUAUCAUAAAUUGUUGUGCGAAAAAUUGAAACAGACAUGAUUAAAUUGAAAUAUUUAUGCCAUUGGGUAUUACGGUUUGGUAGGAUUCCUCUUCACUUGUAAGUGAAAUGUAUUAAGUUCGAUUAUCGCUAAAGACGUAACCACAUUAAUGCUAACCAAUUAUGAGACUAAAUCCACCAUUCCCCCUUAUAAUAUCGUUUAUUUAAAAAAUGCUCCGUUUCAGUGAUUUCUAAUUUUUGUUUUAUUGUGAUUUUAAUGUUUGACGGUAGAAAUUGGGCCCAGCCUAGUUACCUUGGGCCUGAUUAAACCACACAGCCCAACUUCCUGGUGAGACUAUCACUCGUUAAGCCGUCACAUCAACCACCGUACCCCGCCAAAACGUCGUCGUCCUCUCAGAGUGCUCGCCACGGUCUAAUCAUCAGUCGUCACUGUGCCUGCCCACUUCCCACACCAACCCACUCACCCGACCCGAUUCCACGACCGACGCCAAAAGCCCCGAAGCGAAGAAACAUGGCAAAGAAAACUAGCAACUCCCAGCAGUCUCCCUCGUCUUCUUCCUCCGCCACAAAAGCUUCAACUGGGUAAUUUUCCUCUACUUUAUCUCUUUUCUCACCACAUGUUCAUCGCUGUUCGUUCAAUGCUUUCUGAAUUUUUGUUGGGUUUUUGAAAAAACCCAUGAAAUGAUAGAAUAAAAUAAAAUGGAAAAAGAAAGCAAAGAUCGUUACUUUCUGCUAUUUGGUUAAUUGGGUUGUGUUGUUUUGUGUUGAAGAAUGUGGGGAACUCCGUACUUGGAGUCUUGGACAAGAAGCUAGGUUAAGCUCAGUUGGGUGGUGGGGUUUGUUCUGUUAGUUUAAAUUUGAGAAAUUGGAAAUUGGUGAUUUUAUUACUUCUAAUUUCGUUCGGUUAUUCUUUAGCUUUGUACCCUUUUGAAUUUCGAGCAAUGCUUAGCGUAUACAGUGUAUACUUACUCUCAGGCUGCUUGCUGAGGAAUUGGGUGAUAGAAAAGAAAAAGAGGAAAUAGAAGAACUAGGAAGGGAAGGAGCUUUUCAGGGUUAUGAGUUGUGUAACUUGUGUGGCUCUGAGUUUCACUUUCAAGAAAAUGUUUAGUGAUCGUGAGAGGCUGGACUCGAUGGAGGGUUUUUAGGUCUGUUGUGCUUUUGAUGGUGUGACAUUGACGGUUGAAUUGUUUGUUUCAUUCCUUUUAUUCCCGGCCGAGGCAUCGGUGGUCGUUGAAAGAAAUUCUUCAAUCUUUUUAGGGAAAUGGUGUUGAAGGUCCAACAAAGUGAGGGGACAAGGAGGUCAACAAGGUUAAGCAGUGUAAACGCGGAGGGAAAGAGAAUCGUUUCAGUAAAGAAGUCCAAAACCAAGCAGAAGAAGAAAAGUGCAAAAGUUGAUUCCAAGAUACCCAAGAAACCGCCAACUGCUUUCUUCUAUUUCCUGUAUGUACCUCUUUUCGUUCCUGUUUAGCUUUUCAUUUAUGUUUAUUACACAUGUUUGAUUGUCAACUUGCUGUAACUGAUUAAAUUUCCAACUUGCUCAAUGAUUUUGUUGUUUGAUUGUCUUAGUCCUGCAAGAACACGUCAUCCUUUUGGAUUGCUGAAAUUGAGUAUCCAGAUAAUGAGACUGACCAACCUCAAUCACCCCAUGGCCUCAAAUUUGGAAUUUGCCCCCUCUAAUAACGAAAGAUAUAGAAACUGAAGAUCUCUCAACUAUCCAUAAUAUGAAUACUAAGAACCAGAACCAUAAUCACGACUGAUGAUGAAAAUUGAUAUUAAGUUAUUUAUCAAAUCUACAAGGUUUCAGUCAAUUUCUGAAAUUCAAUAGUUGUAACUUUCCAUAGAAAAUUUUCGGUGAAGUUUUCUAAGUAUUAGUCCCCUCAUUCUUGUUCAGUAUUCUUUGUUUUAUUUUCAUUGGUACUUCAAUCUGAAAAAAUAAAUCCACGGUUUCUUCGUUUUCAAAUUGAAUUUCCCUUACUUCUCACUACAGUUAUUUUGUCAGUGUAAGGUCAGAUUAACCAAAGCUGGUUCUUUGUUGUUCUUUAUUUUUUUUGUGAUUAAUUAUAAUGUAUGCCUCAAUGAGAACGCUAUUUAUCAAGCUCACUCUGAGCACCUUUCUCAUAUAUGAAGAACCAACCAUAAACAUCUUGAGGUUUUGCUGAGUUAAACUGGUUUUUCUUGUGUUUAAGGGAGGAUUAUCGUAAGGAACUUCAAGAGCAAAAUCCAGGUAUCAAGCAAAUGCGCGAAGUAAGUUUAUGAUACGGUAAUCCGUUUAACUUUUUGCAUGUUUUUCAUUGUUGCUCAUAUCAUCAGUUCUCUUGUAUAUGAAUAUACUUUCUGAUUCAGAUUGGAAAGGUGUGUGGAGAGAAGUGGAAAACAAUGACAUAUGAGGUUUGUGGUCUCUUUAUACUUUAGUUGGCCUUUUAUGUUUUCAUUAUAUUUUUGCUUUACUUUCUCUAAAAUUCUGUAUUGACGACCGGAUGAAGUAUGACUUUCAAAUCGUGGGUUCUAUUUAACCUAAUGUUCUGACCUAUAGUUUUGGUUAAAAUAUAUGACCCAUUUACCAGUAUGGACUUGUUUGAUGUGUAUGCAGUUGUCUUUUUUUACUUAAGCUAAUUACUAUAGUGGAUCUCAUCUCGCUUAAAUACUGACCCGCCUUGGGUUCGUGAGAUUUACAGCUAAGUGAUACUGGCUGAAUCAUGCAACGGUUCUUUCCUAAUGACUGUGCGUGGUUCUCACCAUUUGGACUAUCUUACUUGUUGAUCAUCUAGUGGCAUGAAGCUUCAAAUAAUAUUUUAGCUUUUUGACUGUUUACUAGUUUCCCUAACAAUGGUGAUUUGGCCAAAAAUAGCUUAUAGAAUUUUGUUCUUCGUUCUUUACUCUCUCUUUCUUCUUAUAUUAGGAAAAGGUUCAGUAUUAUGAUAUAGCCACGGAGAAACGAGCUGAGUUUGAGAAGGCCAUGGCAGAAUAUGCACAAAGAAAGGUAAACAUGCUUUGAAUGAUCUUUAUAGUUAAUAAGCAGAACCUUAUCUUACAAGCAAUGCCGAGUGGUGCUGAAUUGCAAUUUACUAAGCAGAUUUCGAACAUUUGCAGGAAAGUGGCGAGGAUGAAGAAACCGAGGAUGAGGAAGAGGAAGAUUGGUCUGUCUAAGAAAUCAUGUUUCCGUAUGGUGGAAGUACUCUAGUUGUAUGCAAGUCAUAGGUCCUGGUCAUGUGUCUUUUGUAAAACUGUCUAUGCCUGUAUCAUUCUUGUCCAUAUCUGUUCACAAUUCGAAUUUAGUGGUGAAUUGGGUAUGUACUUUAUUUAGUGGAAGAUGACAAGUCUAAACCUUACUAGGAACUUCUAGUUUUAGCUGUCACCGGGCAAUUGUAUCGAAUACACUCAUUGUCGCGUCAUGUUCUUGAUUCCUAACAGUUUUCGAGAAUAUAUAACUUCUUUUCCUCUCUUUCUGUUGAUUUGUUAGUGUAGUUGGCGAGAACUUCUUUCAAUUCUUGCGCAGAAUAAGAUUCGUCGAGGGCAAUCUGGUUGAACAAAAAAUGUUCUUGCACCCGAUGCUCGGGUCCAAAUCGUUCUUGUUCUGUGAAGUUCAGUUUAUGCUGCCAAGGAAAACAAGACCCAGAAAUCUGAAAGAAAACUGCUGCUCUUAUUUAUUUGGAUAUUGUUGCCAACAAUGUAUGUAUAUUGCUGCGCUAUAUGAUUACUGGAUUACAGUUUCAAAACUUGUUCUUCAGCUGCAGUGAGCCUACCAGCUGAAGCUCCUAAUGAAUUGGAAAUACUCCUCACUUCUGCAAUCAUUGCAACCACAUCAUUGAGCUUGUUCACGGCUGAGCCGAUGCCCUACAUCCGAAAAUGAUGAAACAACCAGUAAGUUAACCACACAAAAAUAGCUAGACAACAUACUUCAGUGUUGACGGAUUUGGACGGCAGGGCAAAGUGAGACGGGAAGUACGCUUAUCAGGCGCAAAGUAUCACGAAUUCAGUUUCAGAGGGUUAAAGUGAGAUUCGCGUUGAGUUUGAGAGGGUCAACAAGUAAGCUUUUGAUGAAAUGUGCAUGUUACAGAAGCAGGUUCAUGGUUUACAUACCACACCAGCAGCUCCUGCUGCUAUUGCCAUUGGGGCUGUAACUGCACUCAGUCCGGAUGAACACAUUACCGGAAUCUUGACAGCACGGGAUAUCGAAUAUGCUGCUGCCAAUGUUGGUGUUGCCUAAAACAUGAAAUACUAUCAUCAAAUGUGUCCUGGAAUAAAACUGGUUGCAUGUGUUCAAUCCCAAGUUCUUGUUUUAUAUUCUCGUUUGGUCUACUCAGGCUCGUCUGGAGCCUAAGAUUAGAUUGGAUAACUCGUAACAGUUAAGGUAUGUGUAGGUUAACUCGUAUUACCUUCUCGACCAAACCAAGAACACCUGAUUUCGAAGGACUAGUACAUUUUCCUCCUUCGGUUUGAAUGAUGUCAACACCUUCCUGCUCCAGCAUCUCUGCAAGCUUGACCUGUACAUUGAUUCAACUACCUUGGUUAAACCAAAUACAUCGUACCAACACGCAUCGAUAGUCACUUUCAGCAAUGAUUCCGACCUGAUCUGGAAGGCUUAGUGUAUGAGGUACAGUGACUGAUAAGGUCACAGAUGGAAGAAUCCUCUUGGUCUCCUUUGUCAGAUUCAAAAUCUGCAAAGGAACUCAACAGAAUACAACAAGAGAAUCCGAUUAGUACACUUAUAGCGCUAUGUUUUUCGUAAUUUGCAAGGUAACAAAUGUGGUACCACCUGCUCCGAAGUGAAAACCACUCCCAUCUCGUAAAAGGAGUCAUAGUUUCCAAUCUCAACCUGCAAAAGCCAUCAAAUUGAUCAUAUCAACACAAACCGAAAAGCGCAUAGCAAUAUUGUUCUGAAACGAUUUAGCAGUCCCUCGGAGGGAACCAGGUCACAUAAUCAAAUUCUUGGCCUGAAAUGUAUGGUACGAAAGGGGUUAGUUUGUAGUCGAACCAUCAGUGCUCCUGCUUCAACCGCAGCUGGAAAUGCCGCUGGAUCCACAGAAGAAACACAAACCUGCACAAGGAAGACAUCCUUAUACAUGCAACCUACGGUUGGAAAAUGAUGAUCACGAUACGCUUAGAAAGCAUAUGAAAAUACCGGAAGAGAAGUUAAAUCGAUAGCAAGCUUCACCAACUCCGGGUCACAGGCUAUAUCCACAUGAGUUGCUCCUCCCUAUAGAUACAAUGACACAUGACAACAUGACAUAAAAAGUUCAACAUUUGCUCGGAAAUUCGAUGAUAUUUGACACCACAAUCAAUGUGGUCUAACAUAUUCAAAUCCCUUGGUUCAAAAACAUAAUCUGUUUUUGUUUAGCGAGUUCAUCAUUAGUUCAUAACUUCAUCUAUAAACGGAGUAAGAAACAAACCUGCUCAGCGGCAGUAACGACUGAUGCAACAUUUUCUUUGUCAAAAUUCUGCAAUCCUGAAAUAAUCUGAAAAAACACAGUAACAUCAGAAUUCUUGGAUAUCAAGACAUGGUUAUUAAAUUGCAGAACCGAAAAGUAUUUUUCUUUUUAGCUUCUCCACGUUCCCCAGCAACCAAACAAAGCAAAACACGAUAAUAAUGCCACGGUACAGUCAACGGGAAGUAGGAUUCGCUUUACCUUGAGAGCUCUGCGUUCAUGAAAGUCCCUGAGGACUGAUUCCUUGGUAGCUGACAGAAGUGCUUUUGUGGUUAAAGUGGCUCUUUUUUUGAGAGCCAAACAUGGCCUUGAAGGCAGAGAGUUACCCAGAAGAGGGUUGUGGUGGGUAGGUCUGAAACUGGAUAGAGAGGGUGGUGAAGUUUGUAGGCAGAUUGAGGCCUGCAUCUCUACUCUGGCUGUAGGUUUUCAGGGGGUAGAAGUUGGAGGGAAAGGGAUAAGAGAGGUUUGGCAGUGGCAGAUAAAAUGUUUCAGAAGAAGAUAAUUUGGCUGCCACCUCAACAUAAAUACUAUGCUAUGUAAUUAUUUAUACUUAUUUAGCUUUUUAGCCUUGGCAAUGAAAACUGAUAGAUGUGAUUCUUGAGUUUGUUUACUACUCAUUCCGUGAAAAAUUUGUCAAUAUUGUUGUUAAAUAGUCAUGUGAACGAUCACGUGACCACCUUUAUAAGAGUAUUUUUGUCAAACCAACAUCUCUACUUAACGAGGAUAUUGAAAGUGUUUUCACAGAAUAACCAAAUGAUUUAUGAUAGACAAACUCAGAAUACCACUUCUAUAAAUUUUCAAUGUUAAGUACCACUUCUAUAAAUUUUCAAUGUUAAGUUCUAAAGUGAGAAGUUAAAUCAAUCUCAGUAAUAAUUUUAGCUAAAAAGCCUACAUAUGUUGUAUCAUUAUUUGUAUUUAUAGAGAUAAAAACCACAUACAUUGGUGGGCCUUAGACCAUCUCCAAAUGAAAUGUCAAAUUUUGAACAUAAAAUUUAAAUUUUGAUAGUUUAUGUGGCACUUUGACAUCUUUUAAAGUUUUUUUCUCCAACCGAUAUGUCAAAUUAAAUUAUUAUUUUAUUAUUUUAUAAAAUAAAUUAUUAAACUAAUUAAAAUUUAAUAAAUGACAUUUAAAGUUUAAUCAGUAAUCUGUUCACCUUCCUUGAUUAAAAAGAAAAAAAAAGUAGGAUAAUUGGAUCGGUCGACUCAACAUUAAUUAUAAUAACUUAUUAAACUAAUUAAAAAUUAAUAAAAAACAUUUGAAGCUGUUGUCAAACCUCUUUUGUUGUCAAUCCAUGUCAUCGCCACAUAGGAUUUAACAUUUUGGUUGGAGAAUAUUAAUCUGAUUUUUUUUUGCUGUUAUAACUGAUAUGUACAUUUUGACAUCUUCUUUGAAGAUGCUCUUACCUCUAUUAGAAAGAUAAUACAAAUAGGAGAUAAAUAUAAUAUUACUCUUUAAACGAUAGAUGGAGCCUGGAGAAGAUAUUACCAAGUUGACAGGGAAAAUUACCAUAAAAAAGAAGAGGAGAACGUGACACUCCAAUAUUUCUAUCCCUUAUCAUAUGUAAAAUUACAUAUAAUACCCUUGUAUCUUCCAAGAUAAAAUUAAUAAAACACUCUUGGUUUGCUAAUUUGGUUUUAGAAGAUUCAUUCUGUUCAAACUAAAAUGCGGCAACGGCUUGUAGCUCAAAGAAUUAAAAGUGUUUAACUUUACAUACGAAGUCCUGCGUUUAAUCUUACCCUUGCAAUGUAUAUAAAAAAAUUCUAACAUAUAAUAAUAUCAUCCGAGUAACGUUCUAUGCUAAUAAUACAUAGAUAUGUGUAGAUAAAUAAAAGUGGCACCGACAUCCGUAGUCAAGAAUUUCUCCAAUAGAGUAGGCAAUGACAUUAAAUAUGUACAAUUCAAAGUAACUUUGCAGAAUGACAAAACGAAUUUCCUGAAUUAAAUUGCAGAAAACGAAGUCAGAAUUCAUGAAGAAAACAAAGAGUUAACUGAUCAUUAACAUUGUACAUAAACAUAAUAAGCAUAUUAGCAACGCCAGCAUGACAGAACCAAUAUCCUUCCCAGAAAAAGAAAAAAAAAAACCUUAAUCCAUUUAGCCAGCAACUUGAUCUGUCAACUAUACCCUUCUUGAAGCAACAUAGAAAACCAAGUACAAAGAGAGUCGGAAGAACACCAAAAUCCUCUCAAAAAUGGCAUCCGCAAAACAAGUAGAAGAAACAGAUUCUGAGCAGCAAAACCACGGCCUCGAACGCCGCCACGAUCUUGAAAACCACAUCAUCGUAAAAGGAAAGCUGCAGAUUCAGCGGCCGGAACUUGAAGGCAGACCCCAAAUACUUCCACCUCAAACUCCACGACUCUUUCUUCAUCCUCUUAAAGAACAACCACCUCUUCUUUCCCCCACCCGCCAUCUUCUGUUUCACUCUCUCUCUCUAGAUUUCCGCCCUUCUCUGCCUUCUCCUUUCUGGUUUUUUGGUUUGGGGGAUGUGGUGGUUUUAUCUGGGGUGGGGAAAUAUUCGGUUUCUUAGAAGGCAAGUUCUCUAGAAGGUAGGGAGAUUGAGGGAAUUUUGCGGCGAGGAAAGGGUGUUUUGGGAAAGUUGAUGGGGUGUGGGGUAAGCGAUGACUGAAUUGCUCCGCGUUUUGACGGUCAAGGGGAGUAGAAGACGUGGGGGAGUGGAAUUAUGAGUUGUAUGGGUGCCUCCAGUAGAAAAUUAUACAAUCAAGACCAAUCUUAGGAAAUGUCUUCAUUCCACUCCAAGGAACCCUGGACUAAUAUAUGAUGAGCUGUUUCUUGGUGGCUUUUUUUUUUUUUCUUCUUCUUUUUUACUUUUUUUCUUUAAUAAAGUUGUGAAAAGAUGAGCAACGUCACCAUAACGGUACACCGUCACAAUGUUAUCCAGUGUCAAUAAAAUAUGCAAAAAAUUUUGUCUACACAUUAUAAUUUCAUACGAAACGCCGCAUGGCAAUAUACUAUGUCCUGUAAUUUUUUUUUAAUGUCUUAGCUCCUCUCCGUGUAUAAAAGUACAAGGAUUACGAUUUCAUUAUAAUUUCUACCGUAUACAUGAAGGAAUUGGCUACAACAUUUACAUAAAUUGAAUACAAUCAUUAUUUGAAGGUCAGAUAGUAAUUAGAUUGAAUACAUAUAAAUAUUGUAGCUGAAUCCGUAACGAAGAAAAAAACCGCAAUUACAAACCAACGUAGAUGAGUAAGGUGUGAAAAGAGAGAAAACAUAGUCGGGGACAGAAAAUUUGAGUGCAUUAAAGAAAAGGGAAAUAAAAGGAAAAUAACUUCAAUAUUCAUUUUUAAUGUAAUUAAGAAAAAAUUGAGUAGGGUAACAAUUUGGGUACCAUUUCACGUAAAUAUAACUUUCAAUAUAGCACAUGAGUUCACCUUUUUGUGAAAGUGGACUCUCUCCAAAUGCGAUAGAAGAAAGAAGUUAUUGACUUAGCUAAGUUGGACAGAGCAAUGUGCUUACCUCUUUGUACUCACAUUCGAUUCUCUUUUCCGUAGAUUAGAUGAAUUUAAAAUACAUUCUCCUAUUGUUUGUAAAACAACCAAAUGCAAUUGAAAGUUAAUUUCUGAAAAUUAGUUUAACUCAAAAAAUUUGAUGGCGAUGUUUUAUAUAGGCCUGGUAAACGAAUCUUGUUUAUUGUGUUCAUGUCAUACUCGUUAUUUUAAUGAGUUUUUAAUAGGUGACUCGUUAAUAGGUUGUGGUAUUUCGUGUCGAAUUAACAAGUAGUACAAGAAAUUGCCAGAACUAAUUUUUUAGAAAAAGAAGGGAAAAGCAGACAGAAUUACGUACACAAUUGACAAUUGGCAUGUAUGGAACUCCAUUCAGUUCGUUCUAAAGUAAUUGGGACGGUGGAGUAGGAAACAAAUUACUUGGGCGACACAUCACACAUACUGUCAUACAUGAAGUAGAUAGCUUAACUAGCUAGCCAUAUUAUUCUCUUGGGAUCUUAUACUCCCGAAAGUGAAAAAGCAAGGGAAUUUCACAGCCAUGGUAUUUGAAAUUCCCUUCAAUGAUUUUUAGCUAGAUGUGAGAGGAUUUAGAUAAACUUGAGCUUAAUUAUGAAGUUUUUGGGCAUGAAAGAUUCUUAUUUUGCUUAAUCUUUAGUUAACGAAGAAAGUUGAUGUUCUAUUAUAAAACUAAUUGACAAUAUGAGUAUAGUUCAAUUAUUUAUAAGCACAUGUAAGACUUUUUUUUUCUCCGAUGUGAGAUCCAUACUCUUAAUAAAUAGUGACACAUGUCACAUAAUAUUAGAUUCGACUCUCGUAAAUGAAGAGUUUGAUACUAAUAAUUGAUACAUUUAGCUUGAAUAUCUUACCUGUUAAUGUAAAUAUGUGGUCGUAUCAUAAAAGAAAAGUAGCUAACCACUAAUACCAUGCUGCCUAACUUGUUCUCCUAGCUAGCUAAUCCAGGAGAUCAGCAAUAUAAUAACAGGCUAGCAGUAGUUAAUUUGUAUAUUAUUUAGAUGCUCCAAAAUAAACAAAUGAAGAGUGUAGUCCAAAAUAUCUAUAAAAAAUGAAGUCAGGAAAUAGAUAGCUAGCUAGUUUGUCCAUCCCAUUGGAACUCCAGGACAUAUAAGAAAUGCUUACUCUGUUUUGCCAAAAGUUUCAACAACAAAAUAUUCCGAGUAUUCCAUGUCUAUUUCAUCUAUCGUCUGCUCAUAUGCCUGCAAUUCCGUUUAUAUUUUGAAUUAUUUGUUAUAGUUCCCACAAUUUAGGUAGCUCCACAUGUACGUUUCAUUUGCCUUUGUAGGCUUUGGUCUCCCAGUGUCUAAGGGUUGGUUUGGUAUUGCUGUGCUUUGAAAAAAAGUUGUUUGUGCUGUGUUGUGAGAAUAAACAGCUGUGAAAUAAAGCAACAGAGUAUUUGGUAAAUUGUUUUGUAAAAAUGCUUUUGAAAAAAAAAGCAGUAUUAUAGUGUUUGGUAAACUUUUAUGUAAAACAGAUGUGAAAAAGUCGGUUUUUCAAAGCUGGGUUUUGCAGCUUCUUGUUUUUGGCUUUUUUCACCCAAAACUGUGAAAAAAAGCUGAAGCUGAAUGUUUACCAAACACAAAAAUAGCUCCCAGCUUUUUUUUAUACCAGCUUUUUUUUUCAAAAUCACCUCAGUACCAAACCAAGCCUAAGACACCCAGUUUUUAAAAUAUUAGUAUGGUAAAAAUAUUGGUAUCAGUAAAAAUAUUGGUAUAUAAAUUUGUAGAAAUAUCGAUAAAAUUGAUAUCAGUUGCAUUUGAUGGAAAUGAUGGAAGUUUGCUAAAAAACUUGGAAACUUAAAAUGAAAAUUUAGGGAAUGUCAACACUAGUUUAGAAGAAGUAUAAGAGUUUCACUGAUAUUUAACCAAAAUUAAAGAUUUUCUCCGAUAAGGACUUCACCCCACCUCCUCUCCAUAUAUUUCUCUAAUUUUUCAAACACAUAAGACACCACAUUAUCAUCCGUACCAUGCAUGUUCUUUUCUAGAUUAAGGUAUCAAUUAAGAGUUUAUAUUUAAGUCUAUCUUUAUUUUGAUUUACUAUUCAUUAUAUACUUGCUUUUCGAGAUACAAAGCUACUAGGUAUCUUUUUAUUUUUCAAUGUUUUCACCAUUUACAUGGAUGAUCCAUAUCUUUUUUAUAUAUAAAGUCUUUUGUUUAUUGAUAUCUAAUUAAAUUAGACUAAGCUAUGGAUAGAAAGAUUCAAAUUUGAGAGCACCACUGGCCUAAUAGUAAAAUUUUUAUUAAUAUUUUGCAACUAUUAUAUAUAGGAAAAUUAAGCUUACUAGUCCUUUUACAAAUACACCAACAAAAAAUAGUCCUGCUUUCAACAUGCAAUCUUUACUAUUCGUCUUCGAUGAAAACAUUCGAUAUUGUGUCAAUAAGCUAUCUACCAAUAUUGUGUCGUGAAUGUAUUAAUAUUAUGUCAAUAAUAUACUAAUUUAAUUAAAGAUAUUUUUGUCAAAGAGGGCUAGGAAAGGCUGCAUUUUUACAGCAGGAUUAUCUUUGGUUGAUGGAUUUGUAAAAGGGCCACUAAGCCCAAUUUCCUUAAUAUAUGUGAGGAAGAACUAAAAACUAUAUGUUUAAAUAAUUAGCUUAACCAAAACAAAAAUGGCUUAAAUAAUUAAAAUACAUUACAAAGUGAAACAUACAAAAGUAUCUCUUGUUCGUGGUUGGAAUGUAAGGGUAUGUGUAUGUGUAUAUAUAUAUCCCACAAUUAUAUAUAUUCUCUCAAAUAUAUAUGUCCAAACCAUUACUAGGAGAGUUUUAAUGCCAUUAAUCUCCGGUAAGUAUACAACUAAUUUACAUACACCCGGGCUUAUGAGUCUUGUAAGAAAACUCAUCACGAGCUCUUAUCAAAUGAUGAGUGCUAUAGGCAUAAAGAUUUACGCACUACUAUUUUUUUAUUCAGACUUUGCGUCUGCUUAUUAUGCAGACAACACAUAUUUAUGAAGAAAUUAUAGUACGGUACAAUAGUACCACGUCACUUGUGAUACUUCCAUUCAAAAUCUGACAGCGAUAAACAGACACACACAUAGGCUUCCCUCAUCCUCAGUCUCUCCGCCGGCAAAUAGCAGCAGCAUCUGCAAUCAGCCUUGGUUUGGUUCACUGGUCGCUUGCACGUGCCGGGAAGGUUAGGGGUAAGACCCCGAAGGUCGCCAACUCUGUUUAUAAAAAUAAUUUUAUAGGCAUCAAUCUUUUCUCAAUUGAGAUUAAAAUUUACAUAGAAAGAAAAAGAUAAACAGGGGGAGACAAAGAGCAGGAGGAGAGAGAGGAAGGAAAAGAGAUGGAGAGUCCGGUGUCCAGAGGCAGGUUUUUUACUCUAUUUUCAGUUUUUUUUUUAUUUCUUAAUUUAAUUUUUUGAAAGAGACAAAAUGAAUUUCAAAUCCAAGUGUAAAAAUAAAUUACACAUGUCAAAGUAUCACAUCCACGUGGUGAUACUGUAGUAGUUAAUAAUUUCUCGUAUAAAUAAUGUUAAGGAGAUUAAAUUUACAAACUAAAUGAUAUGUCACUAAAUGAGUAAGUCCAAUAUCAAAAUAUAGAGAAAAUAAAAUAUAAUAUAUAAGAUUAUGGUUUCACUCUUAAUAACACCAAGACCUUUUGUUGAAAAGUACUAUACAUAGCAAUAGUAAAUAAGUUAGGACACUAUUGGUGUGGUUAGGAGUGAGUCAAUGACUCGUCUCUCUAAAUAUCCGACAUGGUAUCAAAGCGGGUUUGAUUGUGGGUCUUGUGGGUCCAUGUCGUGCUCGAGUUACUAGGUUUAAUGUAACACCAUGCUUUCGUGCUUAAUGUCCGAUGUGAGAUUGGUUGCACGUGUGACCACUAUGUAGUGAUCUCACGUAAGGGGACAAGUUAAAUAUAAGUCUCACAUCAAGGAAUUGAGAAAAUAAAAUACAAUAUAUGAGUGUAUGGUUUUACUUCUAAUAACACCGAAGACUUUUUGGUAAAACUCAAUACUUAAGAAUAAGUCAUUAAAUUGAGACAAUAUCAGUAUAAUUAGAAGUGAAUGAAUGAUCCGUCUCUUUAAAUAUCUGACACCCACGACACAACCCAACAAUAGAAGCACACAAAACAUUUCUUCCAACAGACAAUUGAAAAUGAUAUAAUAUAUAAGCAACCACAUAUGUCCUUCCCCCCAUUUCACAUAUUAGGAAAUUCCAUCUCAGGUACAAGCAAAAUUAAUCUACCUAACACCAGCAUCACACAAGCGCAGAAAGACAUUCAUUCCCUACAGUUUACCUAAUUAAGGUCUGUCAUUUUUAGCAACAGUAGUCAUAUCAGUCUCUCCUGUCAUUUGCCAGGAGCAGUAGCGAAGACGAUGCCUCCACCUCACUGGCUCUUUCUUUCACGGUCUCGCGCAGCGCCUCCAGCGACGCCUUCAUUUUUCGAAGAUCUGCCCGGCUCAGCUCACGAAAGCUCGGCGGUUUGCUUUUGAGUGGCAAACCCCUUGCUUUCAGUACAGCCUUGUCAAGCACAAGUCCUCUUUUCUUCUCAGCCUCCAACUGGCUGUCCAUGUCCUCCAGUUGCUGGUUAAGCCUCCCCGCUUUUUCAUCAUUCUUUGAAACCCUAAAUUUUGAUUUAGGGCACUCCUCAUUUAGAAACCUAUCUGCGAUAGACUCCACAUUCGGGUGCCCAAACGAGAAGGGCUUACCUCCCGGAGAGAAAACAAGGACGGCAAUCUCAGCGCCGCACAGGAUGGCGAGCUCGUUUGCUUUCUUGAACACGCCACUCCUGCGCUUGGAGAAGGUCACCUGCCUAGAGCUGCUAUCCUCCACCACUUUCAUCUCAAUUUUUCUCCUCCCCAUGGCUAAUGUUUUUUUUUUUGGGGGGGGGGGGGGGGAGGGGAUUUUUAUUGAAAAAUUUAUGGGGAAGUUGAUGUAAGUGAAGGAGUAUAUAUAGGGCUUGAGAUAUAAGUACCCCAAGUAAUGAUUCAAUGUUUCUAAUAUUGGUUUUUAGCCCUUAAUUUUAUGAGAAAAUUGCUGAUAUAGAAAGAUAUUAAAUUUUAUAUUAUCUUUCCUUUUUCUUUUUGAAAAUUUCCAUAUUGCCACUUUGGGUUGGCAUCAUUGAAUUCAAAUUUUGCACUCCAUAUUCUGGAAUUGAAUGAGGAAAAAAAAUUUGGAUUACAAAUUAGGUAAGCUCUCUUUUUGUAGCUAUCCAAUUGUUUGAGUUUUCCAAUAUAAAUGGCAGUUAUAACUUAAAAAGGAAAAUGAGAUGUGAAUUUUUUCAAUGACGGACACGAUAAACGCACAAUUUUUAAAAAAAUUCACGUAAUUUUGUUGUAUUAGGUCCGUUGUUUUCAUUUAAUUUAUCUAAUUCAAGAGCCAUAAAUUAAAAAAUAGGUGUAAAAAGUCAAAAAGAGUGAAAAUUAUCACAAAGUAAUAAAUUUGUUAGGUCCAUGGAUAGUGUGAUAACGCGUGGCCUCUAAACUGGCAAGGGGAAAGUCCAAUGAACAUGGUUACCAAUUACAAUUAACUUACCAUUCUUUAAUUGCCAACGAUGUUUUUCCUUAAAUGAUAUUUCCUUGACUGUCUUAUAGUUUUUGGCAGGUGUUUUAUUUUAAUUUUGUAAAUAAACAUCUCUGUUUAAUAUUUUCAUUUUAUUCUUUAUAAAAUGAUAUUAGAAGUGAAGGUUAGGAUUAAGCACCCAAUGGAUCAAAGUAAAAGGAAUGUCACUUGGCUGUACUGUAUUACUGGUUGAUCUCAUGUUUCAUCUUAGAAACUUACUUUUUAUCAACUAAAUAAUCUAACUGCAAAAGAUUUGUAACUUAAUUUGUUGGGCUAAAGGUCUUGAGUUCAGUUUCCCCUCCACUAAUAUUGGUUGUUAAAAAAAAAAAAUAGUGGUGCUUUCUCUAGUUGGUCAGAUGAGAUUGCAAUGUGUUUUAAAGUACAUAUUUUGGUAAACCUAAUAAGUCACGUGGGGACCAAUCACGUUUACAAUAUAUAUUUCUGUUUCAUGUGCUACCAAAUUAUUUGAUAAGAGAAAAUGUCACUUGAGAGCCUAGAAAUUAGACCAUGAACCAUGAUGGGUACGUUCGGUGAAAUAUUUUCGAAUUUCAAGGCAUUUAUGUAAAUAAAGAUGAAAUGGGUCAGAAAAAAGUUUAACAAGAGGAAUUAAAAUACACUACAUAUUACAAAAAGUAUGAUAGAAGAAUUUGGAAAUGAUUGCUUGAAAGAGUCAUUUAUAAAUCUCUAUACAUUAUUUUGUAAUGCUUAUACGUGCAUUUUCUAAUUCAUCUAUUCUAAAAUUUUAUGAAUUUCUUCUUUGUAUAAAACUUCAAACACGGAUCCCAAACAUCGGAAGUGAUGCCCUUGAAACUAGAGUGACAUGAGAUCAUCGAUUGCAUGUGUUGAAGUCAAGGGAAAAGAGGGCACAUAAUUAGAAACCAGUGGAAACAAGAUCGAUAUUAUGUAAUUGGUGGUGGUGGCUUGGCUUUUAACGCUAAUUCUAUUUAAAUACACAAAAUAAAUAUAUUUGUUGAUAUGUGGAUAUCCACAUAAAUGGUAUGGACAAUAAGUAUGUAACUUUUGUGUAUCUAGCUAAAAUUAUUCUAAAAACAAUAGAAGCAUAUUUGACAUUAUUUAUGCAACAAAUUGGUAUUUACUGGACUAUAUAUGCAACAAAUAAGUAUUUACUCCUUACACGCAUCAUGUCUGCAUGAUGGCCUGUUUGUGACUAUUUCUCCAAAAGAGAUUUUUCUUGAUAAUUACAGUGCUUAUGGAUCAUGCAAGCGUUUUUUGGAAAAACACAUGUGAUGAGAUGCUUUAUGGCAAAAGGCAUAUCAAAUUUUUUUGAAAAAAUGUAUCCUCUUGAAUUUUUUAUAAAAAUUACAACACUUGUCUCCAAUAAAAAUAUGUUUAGCAAGACCGCUUAUGAGCACAAGUCACAAAUGUCAAAUACAUACAUUAGUCAUUUAAUUUUGAUUAUGUUGAAAUAUGAUCAAGAAACUUCUACUCCUGGUUCAAUUACUCAUAUAACUGAAUUAAAAUGCAAGUAAUAAUUAUAAUUAAACAAAAAGUAAAUCUACAUAAACUCAUGUGGGCGCAACAAUUGAAAUUACUAAGUAAUAAAGGGGGCAUUUGGAUUUAGUAAAAUAACCCACUCAUGUGUCCUACUUUGAAAAACCCUAGCUAGCUUUAAGGAGGGUUUUUCAAAAUUAAUGGCCGUAGCCAGGAGGAAAUGCAUAAGAACCAGUCCCACUUGGAUUUGCAUAAAAGUUGAGAUUGGUUUGUUGGACAGAUCCAGAAGAGGAGGCACCAAAAAUAUUAGUACUCCUCUCCUUAAGAUGGUUGGAGAUUGUCAUGUGUAGCUCCGCCGAGGAUGCAUAGACUUGUUUGAGCUCAUCCACCCCAAGCUCAUCAAGGGGUGCACUCCACCACAGGUGCUCUCGAUUCCUCCUUCUCCUGGCUUUCCUUAGGAGCGAUUUCUGUCGCUCCCGCACAUCUUCUAACUGGUUGAUAAGCUCGUCGUACUGUUCGAUAGCCUCAGAAAUUCUCGUCUGUCGAUGAGCCUCCAUGAACUGAAUAGUGUAGUCAUCGUUUUCGGGUGGAUUUUGGUCCAGAAACCGAUUGAUGACAUUGUCGACAGAUGGAUGACCAUAUGAGAAAGGCUUGCCAGAUGGUGAGAAAACCACAAUUCCCACCUCACCGCCACAUAGUGUUAUCAUCUCGCUAGCUUUUUUGUAGACGCCGGAUCUCCGUUUCGAGAAAGAAACGAGAAGAUCCUCUUCGUUUUCGAUCCUCUUCAUCUCAAUCUUUUGCCUACCUCUAGUUUGCUUUCCCUCCAUGGCCAUUUGGAAAAUGAUGAAAGAAUUGUUUUUCUUGGUAAUUGGCUUGUAAAAAGGUUUGCUUGGUUUGUUUUUCCUUACAAUUCUUGUGCUUAUAUAGGAUGAAAAACCGCAUCUUCGGUCAUUCAAUGCUGUUGACCAACUAGAUAUGUUUUUCAAAUUGUCCUCUCCCCCCUGUUUUAGAGAAAAUUUUAAUUGUGACGGGAACACGAGUGUUACACCACGUAUUUAUAUGUAAGUAGUAGAAAAUUUUAUUUUUUAAGUAUUAACAUUUUUAACACAUAUAUCCCACCAUUUGUAUAGUGACACGUGGUGUACCACCUUGUGUGCCGAUCACAUUGAAAAAUCUCUUCAAAUUUUCUUUGUUUUGGGUUUUAACUAAUUUCCAAUUAAAUAGUCAUAUUAGUUUGUUACCAACAUUUCCCCUAAAAGCUUUUAUUUUUAGGAAAACUAAUGAAAAUAAUUUGAAAACUUUGAGUUUUAAUGAAAAUGACAAAAAAUAAAAGAUAAAAUGAAUAGUACCAAAAUUAACUUUUUAGUGUAAAAAUGUGAUUUUUCGUUAAAGUGAACAAUACCGGAAGUUUUUCGUUAAAGUUCCCUAUAUUUUUUCGAUGUAUUCCAAUAUUAUUCUAACCAGAAGUUGGACAUUUUACUCUUAAAUUAAUGUGUUAUUUGGCAAUGCAUAUGUUGGUGCCACACACCUUAGAGAAAGACUCGUCACAUGGCGCUACUGUUUCACAAUUCAACCUCAAUAAGAUUUUUUUUUUUACUUUCAAUCAUUAGCUUGCGAGAGUAAUGUCUUAACUAAUUGUUAAUAUAUUAUAUACUUUAUUAACUCCUAUAUUAAAAGUUGGAAUUUUUGUCUUUACGAAAGAGAUACAAUCACAAUAUUGUCGUGCGUUAGAUGUGCGUCCACAUUUUUGAGAUCAAAGUUAAUUAAAUCUAUAGAUAGAUGAAAUCUGAUAAAAUUUUCAUACAAUGAUAGCAUGACAACCUAAUAUAAGCAAGCGAUGGAUUGUUUUGGUGAUGAGAGUCUUAUGCUUUAACUCACAUCCUAAGUUCAAACAUUCUCCCUUUUCCUUAGGGUAAUUUACAUUAGUAAUAUUGCUUGUAUUAAAAAAAAAAAGAGUAAAUUACAAAAAACUACCUCAACUAUGGGUUGAACCACAAUCUCAUGCCUCAUGUUUUAAACAUUGCAAUGUUAUUAUACCUCAACUUAUGAAUUCGUUGUAAUGUUAUACAUUUGUUAAGUUUUUUGUUAAUUUGGCUGUUAAAUGUUGACGUAGCAGGAGUGGGGCCCACUCAUUUGCCAACUGGAAUGAAUUAAUUAAUUUACAAAAAAAAAUUAAUAAUUUGGCUGUUAAAUGAUGAUGUGGCGAAGGAGUGGGUAUCGCUCCAGCCACGUUAUCAUUUAACAACCAAAUUGAUAGAAAACUUAAUUGAGGUAUAACAUUGUAACGAAUUCAUAAGUUGAGGUAUGACAUUGCAAUGUUUAAAACAUGAGGUAUGAGAUUAUAGUUUGACCCAUUGUUAAGGUAGUUUUAUGUAAAAAAAUAGUGUGAUAGGAACAUAACACACUCUUGUUAAAUUAGUGCUACUAAAUCUAUUUACUAAAUUUGUUUGCCAAUUUGGAAAAUCGAAGAGAUAAGGCCACAUCAUUUUAUGAACAAAUUUUGAGAUGCUCUAAUAAAUAAUUGACCAUAAGAUGGUGUCAAAGUUAUUAAUGAUAAAAAAACUUACUUGUAACGAUAAUGCUAUUUAGACAUAUCAACCUUCUGCAAAGUUCUGUGACUCUGUCGAUAUAUGGUUUCAGUUAAGAUCAUUCACACGGUAUUGAUAUCCGUUUGGUUUGGACUUUUUUAGCUUAACUUCCAAGUUUGUUUUGGGAUUGUUGUUUCGGUUCUCCCAAUUGUCCAUGCAUGCAGUUGGGGGCACUCCACUUUCGAAAUUAGUGGCAGUUCCAAUCACCAGACUAUUUUUUCUUUCCAUUUCCACUGAUCAAACAAUUUGACGUUCUCAGAUUAGUGGAUUGUUAUGUCUUUCUUUCUUGCGGUUGCAGAUUUAUGAUGAAGGACGAGAACAUGCAGAUGGAAGCAGUUUAGCAGAAGAGGAGAGAAAUGAGAACCGAAAAUAAAGAACAGAUGAAGAAAAUUGUCAAGGAUCCAACCUCCAAGAAUUGAAAACGUAGACAAAGUAGGGGGUUACAACGAAAAUCAAUUGGCUGGUGGAGGCUUCGAGGGAGAGUUUGUCAACUGUGCUCUCAAUCUUAAUUUUACAUUCGAGGUUUUAUUUGACUAUGUAAUUGUUUAAUCUGUGGACUUUUCAUCUACUUGGUUCAAGCAAUUUGUUAGAAAUUAGAAUAGUUUAACACUUGUUUGUGUUCAACUGGGUCUUCAUCUUGCGAUUUAGUAUUAUAGUUUAGUAGUAUUUCUCUUCACAUGUAAGAAGAAGUCUUAGUUUCUAUUCUCGCCAAAAGCGAAUUUAAAUUACAUUAUUACUUGAACAUUACGAGGCUUAGUAUACGCCAUCAACCCUAUAGUGUAAUAUAUCGUUUGUUUAUAUAAAAAAAAAGGUCCUCAUCUUCCAUUUUUUUUUUUGGAAACUUCCUCAUCUUCCAUUUUGAUAAGUAUAUUUUUUAGCAUGACCGUAUUGUUAGGCAGGAACAAAAGCUUCUCAACAUGGCGAAAAUUAUUUCUAACUUAACUGCGAAUAAUAGGAAUACAAAAUGGAUAUGCUUAGCGGUCGUAAUAAAUAAAAGACUUUCCACAUGUGCCAGUGAUGAAAAAACUAAUGAACAAUAACGUAAAUAUAAAAGUAAUUAUCAAUCCUCAAGAAAAUUAUAUUUUAAAAUAAAAAAAAAGGGAAGACGAAGGCUAUAGCUAACCUACUUUAGCAAAACUUUACAUACCAAAAAAAAAAAUAAUUAAAAAAAAAGAAAAAGAAAAAGAAAUUAUAGCCUUUUUGUUAUAGAGGUAGAUUGUCUGUCCUUUUUUUUUUCAUAGCCUUUCCAUCAUUUCCUAUUUGUACGGUCACGGUUAAGUCACGUCAACAUUUUAUAUUCAUAUUACCUUUUGUUUUAUUAUCUUUAUUAAAAAAUUAGUAUAAAAUAUUGACGUGAUUUAACCGUGACCGCACAGAUAAAAAAGAAUAAGAAAGACAAGGGAAAGGAAAAGGGCGGGCAGACAAUCUGCCCUCUUUUGUUAUUGGUUAAAAUACCAAGUCAAACCCGUGGGAGUCAAAAAGGGCAAAAAUUAUGAUUAUGAUAUGUUGAUAAUGAUACCAUUCAUGGGAGAAUCAAAGCCGCCCGCGUGCGAGAGAUUCAGACCGUGUGGGUCCAAACUACCGAUUUACCCUCGACGUCGGGAGGUUAUUACUCCAAAUACCACCAAGAUUUUGGUCUGUGAAGUUGGAAGAUUUCGUUGUUGGGUUGUGGGGGCAACACCGCAAAAAGAUGAAAUCAAGGCUGCAUCAGAAGCAGCGCACAGAUCUGUCAUGAAGGAUACCGUCAAAGGCACAAAGGGUCCGUACGCUUCUCAGUCCCUAGACUUGCUCUUUUGCUUAACUGUCUAGUUUUUAAUUAAUCUAGAGCGAGAAAGAGUGGGUUAUUGAGGGGAGAGAGAGAGAGAGAGAGAGAGAGAGAGAGAGAGAGAGAGAGAGAGUUUGGAAGAGGAUGUUUGGAUUGAGAGAAGCGUCUUGCUUUCCAAGGGUGUUGGUGGGAGUGAAUGUGAGUCUUGCUCUGGUUGAUGGCAUUAUAGCACUUCUUGCAUUUUUUCAGGUUUGCUUCUUACUUAUAUAUUUGUUUUACAUUUGUUUUUUAGUUCAGUUUUGUGUGCAUUUGAAUUUUCCCAAUUGGGUUUUGUUUGGUGAGAUUUUAUUGUGGGAAAGACGGUCAAUGUGGGUUUUAAAGGAAUGUGCUUUUACUGUGAAACUUGAGGAAUGGGAUUGGUAGCACUUUCUGGGGUUGAAUGUUUUUGGACAAAUUUGAAAUGGCCAUUUUGUUUGAUAUUUUUUUUCUGAUUUUACUUGUCAUUUGGUUUUCUCGUUGGACUGGUAAUUGGGAUUUUGCAUAAAUAUGUGAAUGGAUUGAUUUUAGACCAACCAGUAACCAUUUUUGAUAGAAAGAAUGUGUGCUUCAGAGCAGGUAGUGACCCUUUUUGAUUCUUAGGUUCUUGCCCAGGGUAUAACUCUUCCUUUCAAUACGCAUGAACCGAUUACAAUGGGGAAAUUGGAGACAAGGAAUUAUUUUGAAUUCAACGAAUAAGAUAUAUAAUUAACUGAUACAUGAAGGAGAUCAUAUGGGAUAGUUAAAUUGUUCGAGAUCAUGUUUUGUAUAGCUAGUGUAAUGAAUACAAAUACAUGGUGCUCAAAACUUUGUCGACCAAUUGCUCUUAGCACAGGUUUGUAAGUAAUUAUACCUAUAAAUGUUCAGUGUUUUUAGAUAAAUUUAUGUUCAGGAUACUUGAAAGAUCACAUCAUGUAGCCUUACUAGUCCUCACUCUGAAGAAUAGCUAGGUUAUGAGACUUGGGCGUGACUUUAAGAUUACUGCUAAAUCCCCAUUCUCAAUCUCCGUAACUUAUUAUCCUCAAGACACAUUCUUAUGUUUUAAGUAAAUUUGGUAACAUCAAACUUUUAAAACUGGGGAAGCCCAUGAUUGGCGUCUAUGAGGUUCUUUUGUUGAAAUGAUUCUGAGUUUCUUUUCCUUGCUAUUUCAGUUAAUUAGAAUUCACUCGAGGAAUUCACAACUUGGCUGGACUCGACAAAAAGUAAGUGAUGAACCAUGCUUUACCAUUCCUUGUUGAUUUAUUUUUUUGGUCAAGAUUACUAUUCCUUAUUCAAAUUCACAUUUUAUUUCUGUUUCUUUUUGUUUGUUUGUGUAUGUUUUUUCUAUAUAUAUGCAGGUAUGUAAUACAAAUACAUACAUAUGCUUACAUACAUACCAACACAUUUAUAGGAAAACUAAUGAAAGGGGCUUGAAAACUUUGAGUUUUAAUCAAAAGGACAAAAAGGUGUUGUAAGUGAAUAGUACCAUGAGUGACAUUUUAGAGUAAAAAUGUCAUUUUCGUUAAAAGUGAACAGUACUGGGAGUGUUUCGUUAAAACUCCCGACAGUUAUACAUGUGUUUGUGCGUGCGUGCAUGCAUGAUGUAGCUAAAUUUCAAAAGAACUUGCUGGAUUUACCUAUUUGUUCUGGAUGUUGUAGUUUGACAUCGUAAGGCCUCCUAGGAAUCAGUCUUAAUGUGAAGAAUUUUGGUGACUGUUAGAGAAAUUGUGCUGUCGCUGGAUACAUUAAAGUCAUAGGUUGACAACUCCCAAGGUUGAGUCCCAUAAAAAAUUGCAUCUAUAGACAUUGUUCCUAAGAAUUUGGUAGGGAAAUUCAAUUUAGAACGGAUGCAUAUAUGAGGAGGAAAAUGAUGAAGGGGUACAUCAUACAUGUGCAUGAUGGCUAUACAGUAAUAUUUUAGUGUUUGGUGCUCCAUAAAAUGGGGGUAAGGCUAGCCGACAUUCACCUCUCCCAGACCCUGCGUAAAGCGGGAGCCUUGUGCACUGGGUACGACCUUUGGUGCUGCAUCUGCAUGAAUAUGCUCACUUGUAUGCAUGUGAAUAUGUAUAUGUACUUACGGCAUGACUAAUCGCUAUAUUGAAGCUUACUAAAGCAUGCUGGCAUUGUCUUAAUACAUACUAUUGCCUCGCUGCAGGUUUUUCAUCUGUUGAUUGGCUCUUCUAAUUUGGGUAAAAAUUGUUUAUUCCCGAUCCUGAUGCACUAUUGCCUUCUAUUCUUGUCUGAGAUCUGAUAUUCUCUUUCAAGAAUGCUUCGCCCUAAUUAUGUUGCUUAUCAAGAGCCUUGAUAUUUUGGCUCUCUUUUCCUGACUUUUGAAAUCAUUUGAUGUUCUAUGUAUGACUGAUUUUGCAACAACUUGUUGGUUCAUGAGUUUGGACUCAUAGCCAGUUGUUACACAACCAAGAUACAGAACUGAUGAUACCAUCUUAAGUAAUGAUUUUUUCCAUUAACUUAUGACUUCGACAAGCAUGUUGUAUUUACAUCUUGAUUCAAACUGAUUUAAUUUAUUUGAUCUUGUCUGUGACAGGUUGCUUAAUUUAUUUUGUAUUAACUCUUUUUGCUGCUUGCAAGGGGUGGCAAUGUUGGUCUAACUCUUGUGGUUUUACCCUCAUGGGUAUGCUUUCUCUUUCAAUACACGCCAUAUAUCUAUCUUCAGUGCUUGGUCAGAGUAUCUGAAUGGUUAAAAUGCUUUGCAGCAUUACCCGAAAUUCUGUUUUUUGCAGUGUUUCUUCUACUUUUAUCGUUCUGGUAAGUUUUCUAUUUCCUUUUCUUCUUUUUCAUUUUAAACAAUCCAAAACUUAGCUCACGAACUUUCAUGAAAAUGUCGAAAAAAGUGUAGAGAUCUUAGCUUUUUUCAUCUAUCUUGGAUACAACCUGCCUUUUAUGUUUUCGAUCAGCAGCACUGUUUUUUCCAUUCGCAAACACAGAGGUUGAGGUGGGACUAGAGAUUAAGAUGGAUGAAAUGGAAAAGUGCAUUAGGAGUAUUGUGUGACCAUAGAAUACCUGUCAAUUAAAAAGUAUAAUAGUAACAUCAUACAUUGUGCUGGGCAACUAAGCAAAAACACAACCAUGGGAUGAGGGUAACAGAAGUAUGGAUGUGAAGAUGCAUAACCAGCAUUACCUGAGAAGUAGUACAUACAUAACAAAUCAACAUCUAUUGAGACAUAUAGUGCUCCCAUAUACUUUUAUAUUAUGAAUCAGUAUUCAGCAUAUAGAUGAUCUCGUUACUUUUGUAGUUUUCUCUUUCUUUGAACAGUUUAGAAAUCCAUUGCUUAUGGAUUUGAAGGAUAUGUGGCUUUGAUAGAUCUGUGGUGUGCCUUUCCUGUUUUCUUUUCAGGCCAUUCUGUUAUAGUUAGGAUCUGUUGUUGAUUACUAAUGUCUCUAUAGUGUGUUUUUUAUGAGCCAUCAGAAAAUAGAGAUCUGGAAGUGCACUUUUACAUGAAUAAAUUAAAGAUAUAUCAACCAUUCUUUACCUGAAUAUUGCCUUUCUCAAGUUGGUACUUAUAUUGAAAAGGGUGUUUCGUUUGAGCUAUAUAUGACAUCUCUCUUUAGGGUUGACCUGUGUCAUCAGGCAGAUGAUGAGGAUGAUGAGGAUGAAGGGAGUUUUCGUGAAGCUUUGUUGGAGCGGACAUUCAGCAGACCAGAUUCAUUGGACAGAGAUAGUCAUAGGACCUGUUUUCCUCUGCGAUUUAUUCGUAUUGGAAGCCGCCAGAGAAUCGUAAUUUUGGUAUUGCCACAGUUCAAAGUUCCCUGUUAUCUACUCAUAUAUGAUCUAAUAUUAGUCCUUAGCGUUGCAUGAUUUCCCUAUGUCAUGUUUUGUGAAAUUAAUGUUAAAAUUUAUUAACUUUGAGGUUGUCUACCAGGUCACCUUGCUAGUUUUUGUUAUAAUGAUAGCAAGUGCAGUGAUAAUUUGGAUCGGGAUGGGACAAAAUCCUAUUGAUUCUGCACUGGUGGCUCGGGUAUGAACGCGUUGCUAAUUCUAGAUUGUUACAUGUGUGAUCACCUUCUAUCUUUGGUAUGCUAUAGUUCCAGUUUUGCUAUAUUUAGAUGCUAAAAGAAAUAAAGUUUUGCUGCCCCAGUUUUGUGUUCAGACCAUUAAAUAAUUCUUCGGCUUGGAACUUGGAUGCCGACUGUUAGUAAUGUAGUGGUGUUUAAAAUGUGUAUAAUUCCUUUUUGAUGAUGUAAAGAAGGUUAUCACUGUUGUGGCCGAAUAUGCAGUUUUGCAUCGUACUUAUUUCUUAUUAACGAGUAGUUAACCUGUGGUGCAAUGAAUUUUAUCAUUAUCCAGGUAUAUGUAGAUCUCUUUGCAAUAGCGAUACUAUUAUUAGGAGGAGCAUUAGCAUGUUAUGGUGAGUAACUAUCGUUUCACUCUUUUACUUGCAUUUCUUUAUGUGCAACUCCGCCCUAUUUUUAUAGGGGGAGGGGCGCGCAAUGACUAUUUUGGAGUGUCAGUAACACCUCUAUAUACUUAUCCUUCAAUCUGAAGCGUCGUUUUGCUUUGUCUUGGAUUUUCAGGGCUCCUAUUAUUCCUGAGAAUGAGAAACGUUAGAUCUGAGAGAGCUUCUUCUGAGAUGUGGAAGGUAUACUUUUAUUUUGGUCUUUGUUUUCUUGAUUUCCAUAAUCUCAUGUUGUAUAUAAUAUCAUUCAUCUGUCCGUUAAAGUAUCAGAUCAUUCGGAAAGUGUAUUGUUCGGUGAACAUAUAUCAGUGGCUUAUAGUUUAUCACUUGCUUCCGUCUUCUUUUUUGACAGGUUGCAGGUUUAGCUGUUGUUUCCGUUCUCUGUUUCGCCUCGAGUUCUUUGGUGGCUCUAUUAACUGAUAUUCCUGUACGUGCUUGAUUGUUAGCUCAAAGGUUUUUUUCGUUAUUCAGACAUCUAAGUCAGUUCAAUGACUCUCCGAAACUUGACCAUAUCGUUCUGCAGAUGCUUUACGAUUGGCAUCAACAGCGUAUGAAGGAUGCUUAUACUUCUGUUUUACUGAUUUUAUAUUAUUUCGUAGGUAGGUCGUUCUAAAUUCCUUUACUGUUCGUGGUUAGAUGAAUCCUGUCGUUUUUAGUAUCUUUACGAUGUUUAUAUUGUUUUUUCAGGUUCAUCAAUACCUUCAGCCUUUGUCUUAUGGGUCAUGAGAGAUAUACCGCCCUCUGUAACAGCUAACACACGAGAAGAACCGUCUACGUUAACCUUCAUCAGCGACAUUUCCACGACAUUACAAGAUCCUCAGAGCUGGAAUGCUGCAAUGAGCUUGCGGAACCAGGUUUGAUUUCGCCGUGGUAGCUAGACGUUACAGUAGCAGACCCAUUUGAAAUCUCGGUUUGUUUUGUCGAUAGUCGUUCAGGUUUGUGCUCACUGAGUUUGGUUUUCAGGUGCAGGUAUCAAGAACAAGCCCCGUAUAACACUCAUCCUGUAUGGAAAGUGAGUCUUACUAACGUUCCUGAGUGCGAAGCACGUCCUUGCUCGCCAAAUCUAUGGAGUGAGCUGGAAUCAAAGAACGAUAUGCCAGACAAGAAGUGCGACACUGAGAGGACGAGAUGAAGAGGGCGUCGAGUGACAUUCUUGGCCGGAGCUGGAACUUUGUGUACAGCCAUAAGUCGCCGUUGCCACGGUUUUUUGACAUUUUGGGGAUGUAAAUAGCAACCAUAUGCUAAUUGAGGGAUUCUUUCCGCUCCAAAAGUAUUUUGAUGUGCUUCAUUAAAUUUUUGUUGAAGUUGAAAUAAAAAGAUAACGGCUUUGUGUUUGUUGCGUAAAAGUAAAAAGAUUAAUCUCUCAAAGAUUCACACCGGAGAAAGUUUGUAUAAAGAAAUGCUCCGAUCAACCCAAAUCAUGAAGACUGCAACCCCAAGACUUCUCAGGAGUCAGGACUACUGAAUUAUAAGUUUAUGCAGAAAGUACGAAUUCUUAGAGAUCACUUCCAUCGAAAGCCAAUCACAAUCCACGUAUACAGUAAACCGUGACAUCAAUGGAGAAAUCACUGAAACGUAAGUUGGUGGUGGAUUAAAGAUCUAACCACAAAAGUCUAGUGUCUUGGACAAGAAUUUAUCCGCUCAAUGAUUUUAUCCGCUCAAUGAUUUAAAAGGAGCUUAUACAUCACUCAAACAGCAGCUUCAGAACAAGAUUGUCUAGUUACAGAUGGCUUACUAACAGUGUGCAUGUUCAGUAAGUGUACCUCAGGAGUCCAUAUCCUUCCCUUUGCUUUGCUCCAACGAUCCAAAGUCUUUAGGCGGCCAUAUCUAAUGACAAAGUGAUCAAACACGAGAAAUCUUUAGUACCAAACAAGAAAAUAAAACUACUAAAAGACACUUCGUUGUUCAUUUCUAUGAUACCAUACUAGUUCUACCACUGCCAGUAAAUACAUCUUCCAAUUCUUCACAGUGAAAAGCAUAACGACAAUCACUUACGCACAUCUUAUCCCUUACAAUUUUCACCAUCACUUGAUUUCUAGCUUCUAUUGGAGCUAAAUUUCAUAUACUUUCUGCAACAACAACAACAACCAAGCCUUAUCACACCAAGUGGGGUCGGCUGCAUGAAUCAUACAACGUCUCUGCGCUUGGUUUUCCGCCAUGUACUCUCCUAAAACAAAUAAUCCUACAACUCACAAAUUGAAGGGGCAUAUCUUCUUCACAAUUCCACUCAACAUGAAUUCCUUUACGCAUAGCAAGUCAAUCCGAAACCAAUCCAAACGAUGUAUAUGCACAUAAUUCAAAUCGAGCUAAAAGAAGAAAACUUUCUCACCCUCCAGAAGAUUCUGCCUUCAACAAGCCCGUAAGGAACCGGCCCGAAAUUCCUCGAAUCACGCGAGGCAUAGAUGUUGUCUCCCUCCACCCAAACAUGUCCCUUAGGAACCUAUUACCAACAACAACAUUACAAUCUCCAAAAUCCUUAAAAAAAAAAACCGAAGAACAUAAACGAAAAUGUCGAAAACCAAAAACCCAAAAUCCAAAACAAAACCAACAUUGCAAAGUUGAAAUGGAACACGAAGAUACCACUAUAGUCUCCGACCGAUCACCGUUCUUAGGGUCGACAACAUAAGUAACAGACUGACCCUCCGUUGCUAUCAAUCUCUUGGCGACGGUCUUCCGAGGAGCCUCAGGCGACCGUACCAUGACAAUAUCUCCGACACCGAUUCUGUCGAACCGGGUCGAGAUACGUUCAGCCAAGCACAAAUUAUUUCCGGCCAGGCCGAUGGUCGGGAGCAUGCUGGGACCGUAGCACUGCACACACGGAAUCACAACCCAUCCCCGUGUUUCUGUUCAUUUUUGCUCUCAGCUCAUCGAAUUUAACGUAAUUAAAAAAAAAAAAAAUCAGUUAACAGUUACCAGAGCUACGGUGAGGAGGUGCGUCUUGGUGACUUGGACGAAGCAUACGAACUUUACCAGUCUCGGACCGACGUCCCUUAUUUCUCUCCCUGUAUUUUUGAAUGCCUCCGAAGCCAGAAACUGCCUUAUGUAUCCAAACGCCAUGGGAGGAGCAGAGAGCAGAGAUGUACAGUGAGAGAGAGAGAGGGGGAGACAGAGAGAUGUCUUUUUUACUUCACUGUGUUUAGGCCUUUUGUUUUGGGCUUGGAUAUGACAAACCAGGAAAUGGGCGUUUGUAAUGGGCCUAUUUUGGAUUUUCUAAUGGGUCACCGUUUUUGGAAUGUUUUUAACUAACUGAGCGACAAGUUUUUGGAUGAGCCACCGCUUUGUGUUCGAAAACAGUGUAAAUGUAGUUGCGUCAUCUUUAUUUAUUUAUUUUAUAUGUAUGAGAUAUUACCAUAUUAGGCUAGGAGAGUAUCGAACUCAAAACUUUGAAAACAAUUUUGAUGAUAUGGCACAACGUCUGUUAAAAAUGAAGCACGUCUUAGAGGUGAGCUCGAUUGAUUCAAUAUCGAUGAACCUGGAAAAAUGUUCAAUGUUUUUAACUAACUGAAACAACUCCUUGUCGCAUCAUCAUCUUUAAGAUGCCAAAACAACUCUUAACUAUAUGGGUUACUAGUAACUUAUUCAUCAAAUAAUUAUCUCACUUUUUUAAUUUCCAUGAAAUAUCCAUUUCAUGAUGUUGUGGUCACAUUUAUUUGAUGCCAUAUAUAAGUAAAAAUGAAAUGACUAUAGAACCUCUUAUUACAUGAAGUAUGAUUGUAUAAUGACUACCAAUUCUUCUAACAAUUUACAAGUAUAUACGUAACUGAGAUAUUGGCUAACAAUUACAAGUACAAGUGUAACUGAGAAUCUGAGAUAUUGGUAGAAACUAAAAUAUGAGAUAAUUUUCAUUUUCUUAAAUUAUUUGCAAUAACAGUAAUUAGAAAAGAGAGAUGUAUAAAAAUUUUCACCCAACUGAUGUUUUUAGAUAAAUAAUUCUAACUGAAUUUUAACUUUUUUUUGUUUUUUUUGUUUUGUUGGUAGAAUAUAUUGACUGCAUAUUUUUUUUAUUUAUUCCAAAUUAAAAAAAAAUUAGAAACCAUGGUAACAAAAUGAAAAAUGUUGUAGAUUAAUACAAUCCACUGGUAACACUACCAUUAAAAAUCUUAUCAUCCUGUCCAACCUGAUGCCACCGAAACGAGUUGUCGAUAUCCAUCACAUUAUAAACUUGCUGCAGAUGAAAUUCACUUUCACCGCAAUCUUCUUUGUACCGCACUUUGUUAACACGAUAAGCUUCAACUUAUUUCUGGACUUGUUUCCAACUGCAUGAAGCACCAAACGAUUAAUAGGAAAGAACUAAAUGAUGGCUUGAAUUUUCUCUUUUAGCUUCAAGACGGUGUUGUGUUCGGCCUUUUCAAUAGAGACAUGCAUUUUUGGACGUGGGGUCUUCGUGUUGAGCUGGAUUUUAUAGGCUUGUCCUCCAUGAUCUUCACAUUGUUGUUACAAUUACUAUUAUUCGUCGGUUCAUCGAAUUCAGAUGCGACUAGGAGUUGGAUGCGAGAAUUGUUGUAGUUGUCAGUAUUCAACGUCGCAUUGGUCGUGUAGGACUUGGCUAUUGAAGACUAGGGUUUGGUUGGAAAUGGGAAUCGCUUGGGUAUUUUUGAACCUUCUCUUUGAUCUUGAGAACAGUGUCGAAAAAAAAAAAGUUAUGUUCUUUUUUUGGGACAACAGAUGAGCCUAUCGUUGACGUGGUAAAUACUUUGAAGACUUAAAACUCAGAAGAUACUCAAUUCAUGUGGAGAAUUCAGACCAAAGAGCACGCCAUUCACAUGGUAACUAGUAAUAAAAUUCAUAACAGAGAACAUAACAUUGACAUACUAAUUAGUAAUUGUAGCAGAAAAAUAAUAUCCAAAAUAACCAUUUGUAUGGGAGAUUAUUUUUGGCUUAUCUUACAAAAUUGCCGCUAUAUAGAGUAGAUGAAUACAAGCCACCUUAGUCCUUACAGACGAGUUUCAAUACAAGCAUGAAACUGAGAUAAUGGUUAGGGAAGAUAAUGCCGGUAAAAAGGGAUGGAAUUGAAGUCCUUUUGUUUAUUCAAACCCCAUAUUGUAUCGCCGCAACUCAAUGCCCGAUCGGGUUUGCAACUCAACAGAUCCUGAGUAGAAAAUCUCAUUCACCAAAAUAUAUAAAAAUCAAAAUAAACCACUAUAUCUUGUCUCUUUCUUAUUCUCCCAGUUGCUAACUGGAUCAAAUGUUAUAAUUUAUUGAUAACUGGUUGCCAAGUUAUAGUUAUAACAGUUUUCACUUUUUUCUCAAAAACACUUUUGAUUUUUUCCCAAAAUAUUGUGCUUAUAGUUAUAACAGUUUCGAUUAUAAAUAAGAUAUUUUGUUAAUUGGCCAAGUUAUAGUCAAGUAUUAUUCAUAACCUUAUGCCUCAGUCUAAGAAAUUCGGGGGCUGAUUGGAUGGUCAACCAAUCCUAACUCAGGUUAGGCUCGAGUUGUCCAAUUUUAUUUAGAGAGUCCUAAUGAAAAGGGUUCUUCAAACCAAAACUAACCUAAUAAUUUUAUUUAAUUAAAAUGACUUGCACUUCAAUGAAAGGAGGGAAACAACCCAAUUUUUGGCGUGCGUGGCUAUAAGGCAACCAGCCAGCCAAGUGGGGACCAAGGAUUGAUUAAUUUGUGCUUUUGUUAAUAUUUUAUUAUUAUUAUUAUUAUUUAUCCUAAUUAUUAAAUAAAGUUAUUAAAGUGUGUUUGGUUAAGAUUUAAAGUUUUAAAACAUUUUUCAUUAUUUUCUUUUUUAUAUUCAAACUCAAUUCUACUUUAUAUUUAAAGAAUUUUUUAAAGUUAAAUCAAAUCGCGUCAACACCAGUUAAAAUUCAAUUUGAUAAAUCACUAUCAAUCACAAUUCAAACUUCAACCACAAAAAAUGUCAAAGCCUCAACUAAAAGAAAUGCAAACGCCACUUUUAUCCAUUAUCAAAUGAAAACUUUGAAUCUUGCCAUUCUAGAACAUAUACAUAUUUUAUUUAACAUGAAGUGUGAUGACCAUGAAUGAUAUGUUCUUUUAAACCAAAUUGCAUUCUUAAUCUUUAUUGGAUGUUGCAUUCUUAAUCUAUAUUAUCAAUGGAUAUUGUACUAAUGUUAAAAAAAUUAUUAUUUACUAUGCCUUGUUGUUGAAGUUACCCACUACAUAUUUAUUAUUGCAACGAUGUAAUUUAUUUUCUACACCGUGUUGCGUGCUAUGUUGCUCUGCACUAUUAUUUAAUUUCCUCAACCAAUAAUAAAAAAUAAAAAUAAAGUCUUAUAUUAUUAUUGGCCCUUUCAUUUGUUUUCCAGUCUUUGUUUGGGUGAUGGAUUGUUUGGCGACUAAUUAGUAAGAAAUGAAUUACAAAAAAAUUUCUCAAGCAUCAUCAUCAUUUUUAAUAUUCUCAACACAACGCCAAAUGUACCUGAAACACAGGUGAUAUAUCACGUGUCAUUGUAUAAGUGGGGAAGUUUUAUUUUGUAAGUUGUUAAAUUUUUAACAUAAGUGUCUCACUACUUGUAUUCUAGUGUAUCACUUUGUGUUUUGAAAAUAUUGAAAAAUCUCCUCCAGACGUGGGGUUACUUUCCACUGACGCCCCGGUCUGGGCGUGCCAUGUGUAUUCAGAACAUAAAAUUUCUCAGUUCUUUAAUGCUAAAUCAUACCAAAACUGAAGUAGCAUCCAUAACAAAUUCAAGACUGACCCCCACAAGGGAUCUACUAAUUUCCAAGCCUUUCUUAAUAAUCUUUCUUUUUUACAAGAUAUAGAUGUAGUAAUGAUAUUUAAACACUAAAAUAUGAACGCCAAUCUCUAAUUUGAAGCAUUCCACUGUGUUUUCAGCGGUCGAUUUCACUCUCGGAAACAAGAUUUCAAGUCAGAGUCAGGAUUGUGAGGUGCGUAAGACCAGUCUCCAAAAGCUCCCUUCUGUUCAAAAGUCUAUCAGAUGAACAAUCUUCUUCCUGAUGCAAACAGAGAUUGCGUACAUUAAAUUAAGUAAUGAGUCCGACUACUAGCAUAAGAUUAAUUAAUACUUCAACGAGACAGUAAAGAAAUUUUGAAAAUUUAAGGGUAAAGCUGCACAUUUUAUCGGAUGAUACAAUAUUCUACCACUUAUGAACUCCUUGAAGAUUUUAUUUUUUGUCAAACGAUAAAUUUGUCAAAUUAGGGAGCCGAUAGGGUUUGAACCCAUGUUAUGGUGCAAAGGUCAACACUCCUCUCCACCACUGUGGUAGAGGGCCACUUGCCCUUGAAGAAGAACUCUUUUAAGUGCUAUAGAAUAUUGGCCACAUACUCUACUCCAAACUUGGCUCAACGCUUUCAUUUCUUUUCUAGUCUUUGUCUGGGUGAUGAAUUGUCAAGUGGUAAGCGAUAGUGACUAAAUUAGUAAGAAAUGAAUUGCAAAGAGUUAUCGGAAUCACCAAUUUAUGAUAAACAAAUAAAAUAAUGUUUAAUUAGAUUAAUAAUCCUAUAGUGAUAGAGUAGUUGGAAAAUAGCUCAUGAAGUAAAAAACCUAGGAUUUAAGCCCAUGUGGUGAAGUCUGUUAGAAUUUAAACCUAAAAUUAAAAAUUUCGUCAACUCUUCGUUAAUUGGUAGCAUAUGAGGCUCACAUGGGCCUAAAUCCUAAUAGACUUCACCACAUAGGCUUAAAUCCUAAUUUUUAUCACAUGUACUAUCUUCCAACUACUCUAUCCUCAUAGGACUAGCCAUAAAAUAAUGUUAUAUUCAAACUCGAAAAUAGAAAUCUGCAGCCUGCAUAUGAGUGAGGCAAACACCAACGUGGAAUACAAAUCCAAUCCAACAUUCAAGAAAACAAAAAAAAAGGGAGAGAGGGAGGGAGAAAACGGAAAUCAAAAUCGUAAAUUUGAAGAGGAAAGAAAACUUACUGCCCAAAUGGGAACGAAAAGUUACACACUCACCAUUAUUCUUGCUUUAAUCGUGGACAAAAACAGUUUUUUUAGUUAUUGUUCAAAUUCCUGCUAAACUCAUAUCGAGUAAUGCUCAUCUAAGGGGGGUGUAUUCAAUUGAGAAUGUGAGAGAUUUUAAUGGAUUUAUAAAUCCAUGGAUUUUUAUGGAGUUUAAUUGAUUUGUAGAGAUUCCAUAUAAAAUUUUGAUUCAAUUCUCUCGAAAUCUCAUGGGAAGAGGUGAGAUUUGUGGAUACUUAAAAUACACUACGAAAUCUCUCCAAUUCCCUCUAAUUCUUUAACUUUCUCAAAUUCUUUAAAAUCAAUUUCUAAUUGAAUACACUUGGAAUGUUAUAAACUUCUUUAAAAUCUUAAUUGAAUACACCUAGAUUUCUAAGGAUUUUAAUAAACUAUUUUGAAAUUCUAAUUGAAUACACCUAGAAUUUCAGAGAAUCACUUAAAAUCCUAAUUGAAUACCCCUGAAAUUAUUAAUUCCCUGAAACUCUCUCAGAAUCCUAAUUGAAUACACCCCUCUAAGAUUCUCAUUUUGAGGGUUUGUAAGGUUCCUUUUUAUUUAAACUCUUAAAUUAAUUUGACAUCAAUAACUUUAAUAUUAUUCUUGUUACACUCAAACAAAUCAUCUCAAUCCCCUCUCUUCCCUACGCAUCUCUCUCCCUUCCCCUUCCAUCUUCUUCCCCUACGCGUCAAAUGUUUUGGGCAGUUGGUUGGACGCGAGAGGCAUUCAGCCUUCUGUAUGAUGCAAAUGUUUGUUGAAUUUCAAUCACUAGGUGCCAAACUACAGAUUGUUUCUGCGUUUGCUGUUGAGCACAUCAAGGGUUUUGUUCUCAUCGAACCUGACAAGAAAUCUGAUAAUAAUGAGGUGAUCUUUCCUUGUUUAGCCAAAUACUAUUCUUAAUCUUAAUAUACUAAUAUAUGCACUGCUACUCACACGAAAAGCGUAGAUGGAGAGGGAGGGGGAGAAGGGAGAGAGGGAUUGAUUGAGAAGGUUUUUGUGAAAUUGGAGGGAGCGAAACCGUUCAGUUUGUGUUCAAUGUUUGCAUGAGCCGAAGACUCGUCAAUUACAGUGCAUACAAUCAUCUCACAAUGGUCAAGCAGACACAAUCAUGUCCUGUUGAUUUCAUUUAUUGCUAAAUUUCACUAAUACUUCCGUUCUAAUUAAACUUCUAUUGAAGCUUAGUUUUAUGAUUUAUCAAAAGGUCACUAGUUUAGCACUCAUGAAUUCAAAGUCAUAUCUUGAAGAAAGCCAUAAGUAACAGUCCCAAAUUUGAGUGUUGAAAACCUUGUGUCAAAUGUAGUCUAGUAAAAGUUUGUAUCAGAUUAAUAUGACACAGUAUAAAUGUCUUUGAAUUAAUUACGAAGGUAAGAUAUAGAAAAUAAAAUAUUACAUUUACUUCAAAAUCAAAAGAAGGGAAAUUAUUUUAAGGGAGACUUUGGAUGCGGUCCCUAGUUAUGAAUAGUCUUUGACUGAAACCUUGUUGGUUUUCAAUUUUUG